RNAcentral lists this long non-coding RNA (55873 nucleotides) under Triticum aestivum (bread wheat). RNAcentral describes it as "long non-coding RNA (TAES_LNC024663)". Lineage: Eukaryota; Viridiplantae; Streptophyta; Magnoliopsida; Poales; Poaceae. The record is from RNAcentral.
AUGAAUCUAACAAUUACGAGUAAUGUCUUUGUGACAAGAACUUUCUUUGUCUUUUAUUCCCAUGUUUGAACUAGUAUAGGUCGGGGUUACACAUUAUGGUGCACAUCACUUUAUUUAUCAUCGUUACAUUGAACGCUCAUUGACUAAACAACGAUGAUCCAUCCAUCUUGUAUUGUAGGUCUUCAUUUCAUUGGCCACCGAUGCUUGUAAGACUAGUCUCAUAUGGUUGUUGUUGUGGAUAUGGUUGUUGAGGUUGGUGUGGUUGCUGGGGUUGCUGGGAAAUUGUUUGUUCUGGUUGCUGGGAUAAUUGUUGUUGGGGCUGUAGAAAUGGUUGUUGUGGUUGUUGGGGUAAUGGUUGUUGUGGUUGCAGGAUGGAUGGUUGUUGGGGUUGCUGGGGUUGGGGCUGGGGAAAUGAUUGUUGUGAUUGUUGGGGUUGCUGGGGAAAUGGUUGUUGCGGUCCUAGGAGGAAUGAUUAUUGUGGUUGUUGGGGGAAUGGUUGUUGNNNNNNNNNNNNNNNNNNNNNNNNNNNNNNNNNNNNNNNNNNNNNNNNNNNNNNNNNNNNNNNNNNNNNNNNNNNNNNNNNNNNNNNNNNNNNNNNNNNNNNNNNNNNNNNNNNNNNNNNNNNNNNNNNNNNNNNNNNNNNNNNNNNNNNNNNNNNNNNNNNNNNNNNNNNNNNNNNNNNNNNNNNNNNNNNNNNNNNNNNNNNNNNNNNNNNNNNNNNNNNNNNNNNNNNNNNNNNNNNNNNNNNNNNNNNNNNNNNNNNNNNNNNNNNNNNNNNNNNNNNNNNNNNNNNNNNNNNNNNNNNNNNNNNNNNNNNNNNNNNNNNNNNNNNNNNNNNNNNNNNNNNNNNNNNNNNNNNNNNNNNNNNNNNNNNNNNNNNNNNNNNNNNNNNNNNNNNNNNNNNNNNNNNNNNNNNNNNNNNNNNNNNNNNNNNNNNNNNNNNNNNNNNNNNNNUGCAGGGGGAAUGGUUGUUGGGGAAUUAUUUGUUCUGGUUGCUGGGGGAAUGGUAGUUGGGGCCGGGGAAAUGGUUGUUGGGGUUGCUGGGGGAAUGGCUGUUGUGGUUGCAGAGGGAAUGAUUGUUGGGUCUGGGGAAAUGGUUGUUGUGAUUGCUGGGAAAAUUGUUGUUGGGGUGUGGGAAAUGGUUGUUGCGAUGGAUAUGGUUGCUGUGAUGGAUAUGGUUGUUGUGGAUAUGGCUGUUGUAGAAAUGGUUGUUGUUGAUAGGAAAAUGAUUGUUGAGGUGAUUGUAAUUCUUUGUUGCUAGGGUUUAGCUGCCUAGCGGCAGUGGCGAUGUUCAUCGCCAUGGCAAGGAGGACAAAGAUGAGGAAGGUCUUCAUGUUGGAUUUGUGGUUACUACUGCUUGCUUGCUUUUGAUGCUUGUGGUCUAGGUGUGUGAAGUUUGGAUGAUGAAAUGUGGUCUUGGUGGUGCAUGUGUAUUUAUAGUUUUCAUGGCAUGGCUUGCUUUCUUCUUCCCACUCGCUUUUUGAAAAAGUGCACCAAUGCUUAUCCAACUAAUCAUUUGAUUUGUUGUGUUUGGUGCAACUACUUACUAGCAAGAUUUUGGAUUUUCAUGAUAGUUGCUUUUUGUUGAAAUCAUCUGGUUGUAAGGAAUGUUGGAUAAUGACCAAUGACUCAUCUUCUUCACUUUACACUGCAAACAUUGAUCUAAAUUAUAUCCUUUUUUGAAAUUUAGUUUGUGAAGCUCUACAUGUUGUUAGGCUUAUCUAUAUUGGCAUAGCUUGAGUGGAAUUAAGUUUGUAAGCUUGUGAGCGUCAUUAUGAUGGAUCACACUAUUAAUGUGAUGAUUGUACUACAAAUUAUCUUUCCAAAACUAAUUUUAUGUUUUUUCCCAAUAUGAUUCUAAGACGGAUAACCAGACAUGACUCAUCAAAUAACAAGAUAAACCGAGUAGCAAAUUGGGGUUAUAAGUUAUAACAUGGACUUUUCUCUAAGAUACACUAUCUUGUCUUGCAUGCUCUGUGAAUUUGAAAAGCAUCUACUAAUUUAUAUGCAAUUGAAACAAAAGUAGACCAGAAAGAUAAGCAAUGAAAUGAGAAUACUAUUAUGUGAAGCUCUACAUGUUUGGCAAGCAAUAAGAUACUGGAUACAUCUAUAUCUUCAAUCCUGACAAUUUUUCUCAUCCCUAUCAACUCUUUAUUGGCUGCCUUUACUGUAGUCAUCCCUUAAAUAAAAAUCACUUAAAGAUAAGUUUGGGAGCUAGUACCAGCAUCUAUCAUGUACAAGAUAAAAAACUAAGGCACAUAUAGUAGUCUAUUGACUAUAUUUAAUUUCAUGUGAUGUGAAAGCAUGUGGAGUAUAAGUUGGUUAAAUAUAAAAUUGUCCUUCAUACCAGUAGGGAAAGAAUAUGCAGUAUAAAGAUUAGAGCAUUAUUAAUAUGCUAUUAAAUGCUACAGGAUAAUCGAUAGUUCAAGUUAAGAACAACAAUAGCAUUCCAACUUUUGUUUUGUGCAAGUUAAGAACAUGCUAACAAAGUAACCUAAGCAAAUAAGUGCAACACCUUCACCUAUAAGGAAAUUUUGAAACUACACAAAAUGACCUAUUGUAAAGAAGGAAAAAAAUCUAAAGGUGAAUGAAAAGCAUGUUAAGUACAUUCAGGAUUCGGUUAUGCCUUCAUGGAUAACCUUUUAGAUGGUGACUUGUCAACCUUGAUGUGUGUCGGCAUGGAACGAGGACAAGAAGACAUCGUUACGUCGUACUUUGGGAAUUUCAUCAAACUGGUUGUGUGCGGGAACAAAUAUUUGUCGCCUCCCUGCUCAAAUCUCUCUUCAUGUCACUAAAUCCGACACUCCACCUACCAAAAUCAGCUGCAAGCCAGGGACAAUCAACAGGUUUCUCCGCCCGUAGCAUCUAUCACCAAAAGAAGUUCAGACUAUAGUCUUGUAGUUUAAAAUUUUGUAAUAACAAGCACUACUAGGUUGCUCUUGUUUGUACGUCUUCAUUAUGUACAACCCAUGGAACUUAAAAUGCAUGGGUCAUUCUUCGGUAUAUACAACCAAUGCAACCAAACAUGCAUUGGGCUUUUCUUUGUACAUCUUCAGGUUCUACAACCAAUGCAACAAAAAAUCCAUUGGGCAGUCUUCCAUUCUAGUCGGGCACCAAUAGUUAAACGAGGAGCUAAACAGUGUUGGAGUCUAAAACUACAUACAAUCAUGAAGCAGAGAGAUGCGACUUGGAAGUUGUGCUCCUGUGAGCUCGUAUUUUUGAAGAAAAAAGUAAUAUUUGUAUUUUGAAGUGGGAAAAAGUCCUAAAAAGGGAUGUUUUGCGGGUUAUAACUUACUAUUUUUGAGUCCUGGGCUGCAGGAAGGUCGUAAAAAAUCAAUGUGUUUUCCCAUUCAUGCAUGUUUCUUGGGUUAUAGGUCACGCUUUUGGUGUCCUAGGGAGAUCACUUCCCCAGUUGGGAACAUUAGGUGAUGAUUUUUAGCAAAACUCAUUGUUUUAGCCUAACUAGUUUCGAGGAUUGGUGGACAAGAUUAUCAUGGAACAAAGUGACAACCUUCCUUUUCUUCAUGCCUAAUAUAAACUUAGCAGUCAACUAAAAGUAACUAGCGAUAUCACAGAAUGUUUUUUUGUCAAAAGUAGAUACCACUUCAGGAUUCAACUCGGUUAGUUCAAUCAUAGACAUGUUAAGAGCAGGAUUUACAACUAACUGCAUAGGGAACAUCUCCUUUUAUCGCCCACUAUCUGUCUAUGCACUUUGGUUUUCCCGUAGCAGCACACAAAGCACUUUGUUAGUACCAAUAAUGUGCUCCAACUCUACACAUUAAUCAUCUUGAAUUCUUCUACUGAUGUCGAACAAUGUUAUAUCUUGAAUUCUUCUAACGAGUUCAGAUUAUACUACAUGGGCAAUUUAUCUGGUCCCUGAGAUGCAAGGUCGAUGAACAAUCGCUUCGUCUGAUGAUGAGGGAUUGUUUUUGCCUAAGAAACCAAUACAUGUAACUUCGACGCCAGAUUAAUAAUUGGUAAAACCCAAAUAAAUUAGAUCACGAGCUAAACCAUUUAAUUUUGUAUGCAUUUAAACUUUUGAUACAUAUGAGCUUGUUAAGAUGUUCGCAUAAACACCAUGGUGAUUUGAAGCAAGACAAAGUAAACUUGAACCGCUUGAGCCACUGACUUAAUAAGAACCUCCUUUCCCGUGGCAGAGAUCGUUUUUAAUACAUCCACUCACUUUGGUUCUCUUAUGAAAUCUAGAUUCCUUCGCUAAGGCUAUUGCUCCAGUAUUGUCACAAAAGAUUUUUGUUGGACCCGAUGCACUAGGUAUGACACCUAGAUCGGAUAUGAACUCCUUCAUCCCGACUCCUUCAUUUGCUACUUCCGAAGCAGCUAUGUACUCCUCUUCACAUGUAGAUCCCUCCACGACGCUUUGCUUGAAACUGCACCAACUGACAGCUCCACCAUUCAAUAUAAAUACGUAUCCGGUUUGUGACUUAGAGUCAUCCAGAUCAGUGUCAAAGCUUGCAUCAACGUAACCAUUUACAACGAGCUCUUUGUCACCUCCAUAAAUGAGAAACAUAUCCUUAGUCCUUUUCAGGUAUUUCAAGAUGUUCUUGACCGCUAUCCUAUGAUCCACUCCUGGAUUACUUUGGUACCUCCCUGCUAAACUGAUAGCAAGGCACACAUCUGGUCUGGUACAUAGCAUUGCAUACAUGAUAGAACCUAUUGCUGAAGCAUAGGGAAUGACUUUCAUUUUCUCUCUAUCUUCUGCAUUGGUCGGGCAUUGAGUCUAACUCAACUUCACACCUUGUAACACAGGCAAGAACCCUUUCUUUCCUUGAUCCAUUUUGAACUUCUUCAAAACUUUAUCAAGGUAUGUGCUUUGUGAAUGUCUAAUUAACCGUCUUGACCUAUCUUUAUAGAUCUUGAUGCCCAAUAUAUAAGCAGCUUCACCGAGGUCUUUCAUUGAAAAAUUCUUAUUCAAGUAUCCUUUUAUGCUAUCCAGAAAUUUCGUAUCAUUUUCGAUCAACAAUAUGUCAUCCACAUAUAAUAUCAGAAAUGCUACAAAGCUCCCACUCACUUUAUAAAGGCUUCUCCAAAAGUCUGUAUAAAACCAUAUGAUUUGAUCACACUAUCAAAAUGUAUAUUCCAACUCUGAGAGGCUUGCACCAAUCCAUAAAUGGAUCACUGGGCUUGCACACUUUGUUAACACCUUUUGGAUCGACAAAACCUUUUGGUUGCAUCAUAUACAACUCUUCUUUAAGAUAUCCAUUAAGAAAUGCAGUUUUGACAUCCAUUUGCCAAAUUUCAUAAUCAUAAAAUGCGGCAAUUGCUAACAUGAUUUGGACAGACUUAAGCAUCGCUACGGGUGAGAAGGUCUCAUCAUAAUCAACUCCUUGAACUUGUCGAAAACCUUUCGCAAAAAGUCGAGAUUUGUAGACAGUAACAUUACCAUCAUCGUCAGUCUUCUUCUUGAAGAUCCAUUUAUUCUCUAUGGCUUGCCGAUCAUCGGGAAAGUCAACCAAAGUCCACACUUUGUUCUCAUACAUGGAUCCCAUCUCAGAUUUCAUGGCCUCAAGCCAUUUCGAGGAAUCUGGGCUCAUCAUUGCUUCCUCAUAGUUUGUAGGUUCAUCAUGGUUGAGUAACAUGACCUCCAGAACAGGAUUACCAUACCACUCUUGUUGGGAAUAUGACUACCAGGUAUGACCCGCCCAGGAGGGGCCGGGUCAAUCCUAAUGGCGGGUUACUAAAAGAAGCUCAGUGAAUAUACAAGGCGAUAGUUUAUUAUAAGACUUGUAGUAGGACCAAGCCCAAAGGCGGGUUAAGGCCCAUAAUUGUAAACCGCCAUGUAUAAGAAAGAAUUGUAAAGAAAGGCAUGUAAGAGAAGUCACCGAGCCGGGCACGUUAUAUGAGCCGGCUGGGACUCUGUAGGCCGCCAGGCGUCAACCCGUGUAUAUAAGGGGACGACCCGGUGGCGGCUUAGGGCAAGUAACAUCAAAUCGAGAGCCAUGCAUAGCGUAUUUGCUCCCUGGUCAUCGAAACCUAGCAAUACCACAUCAACUGGACUAGGCUUUACCUUCACCGUAGGGGGCCGAACCAGUAUAAACCUUUCGUGUCCUUUGUCCCGAUUAACCCCUUUAAGCUUCCUAGUUGCGAUGGCUCCACGACUAAGUCCUUUCAGUAGGACAUCUGCCGUGACAAUUCCACGACAGUUGGCGCCCACCGUGGGGCCAUCGCACGAUGGAUUUGAGUUCUUGAAGGGCAGCUUCCAAGGGCUCAAGGGAUACGCUGUGGGCCGGAUAACCAAAAGUUGUCACAGCAAGCUCUACAUCGACGACGCAGGCUGGGGCCCCGAGGCUGGCUCAAUCGAGUACGGGUACCGGGUCCCCUUCGGCGGAAUCCACGUCUUCAUCGGCCGGAUCGGCGAGCCGGGCCCUGAGUCGGACAUCUGCACCGACCUCAUCGAGAUGGCUCAGCGAGUGAGACCUGCCCGGGCUCAACCUGCCGUGAGGCGUGCCUUCGUGGGUUGCAUCCAUGGAGGGGAAUUUUCUGAAGGAUCGAUGGACGGUGGUGAGACAGUCGUUUGCUCUAGCAGUGAGUCGUCCAUAGGCGAGACAGAUUCUUUGUAUCAGCUACAAGAUGGCGGGCUUGGGGGCUGUUCCGAUGGCAGUAGUAUUCCGGACCCCUCUGAGCCGCCGAAUCGAGCCGGAGUCUUCAUGGCUGGCACUCAACCUGGUUAGAAUUCUAUGGCUGCGGCAGCAAUAACCACUGGGUCAGCAGGGGCCGGGUCAGGAGACCCCGCGCGCCCACCGGCUCAGGUACUAAUGGACCUCAUGGAUAGGAUGACGGCCCUGUUGACUGCUGUGGUUGAGCCGGCAGAUAAGGCUCAGCAUGACGCAGAGGUAGCACAGCUACACAGAGAGGUAGCACAGGCCAAGGAAAAUUUAGUGGCGGAAGAUGUCAGGAUGGCCGCGGAACGGGCGGCUCUGGAUGCACGGGCUCGGCAGCUUCAAGCGAAGACUUUCUGGCUCUCGGUGGAUCUGAACGCAUCAAACGAGGUCACGAGGAGAAGGCACCAGAAGGCUCAAUCAUGUCUGCCUCUGACUUACGAUCCUAGGAACCUUUUUCACACACCCGGGACUGGUCCCAGUAACCCGCUGAAGGCAAACCGGAUCACAACACCCGGGACCGGGACGCCGGUUCAACCGCGGGCCAUGGAACCACCGCGUGUGAAUACUGCUCUGCCUCACUACACAGCGAUACCACCGGGUCACUUCUCUAACCCCUUGGAGAACCUUAUUGCUGCGUCGGCUCAUCUGGCGGCUCUCCCGAUGGAAGGUGACUCUUCGACGGCGAUCGAGACACGACGGGUCAGAGAACUUCUUCAGACGGCUCUGGCACAGCAGGAUGCAUAUUCUUAUAGUUGAGAUAGAAUCCAUUCAACCCCUCGCCCAAGCCGGAGCCCAAGCUAUAGCAGGCAUAUGGACUCGGCGGCCAUGUCAAGCAACACCCAGCGCCGUAACCAUCCACGUGGGCGUGACCCGGCCCCGGGCGGAGCUUGUAACUUGGUAGACCAGGAGAGGAUCCGUCAAGAGGCUGAACGGGUGGUUCAACAGGCGGCUGAGCAAGCGGCUCACCAAGCUUUUCCAAUUUAUACAGUGACCUCUGUUGAAGCAGGGGUGGCCACAAGGACAGGAGGAGUCCCUUGUCUUGUGCAGUCUCUGCGUAAUGAGCGUUUACCAAAGGACUUUAAGGGGCCUCGUAAGGUGCCCAAUUACACAGCCGACCUGCAGCCCGGAGCAUGGAUUGAAAGUUACGAGAUGGCCAUGGAGUUAUUAUAAGUCAGUGACGCAGCAAUGGCCAAAUACUUCACCAUGAUGUUGGAUGGAACAGCUCGUACUUGGUUAAAGGGGUUACCGCCCAACUCCAUCGGCUCAUGGGCGGAGUUGAAGGCACGGUUCAUUCAGAACUUUAAAGAUACCUGUAAACAGCCCAUGUCAAUCGUGGACUUGACUAACUGCAAGCAAGAGGAAGGCAAAUCCAUGACCCAUUGGGUGCGCCGGGUCAAGGAAAUAAUACAUUCAUCUGAUAAGAUGGAUGCCAGCUCCACGGUCUUAAUGUUGGAGAAAAAUUACCGUUUUGAACCUCUGAAACAGAAGCUGGGGCGGCUCAAGCAUGAUUGUAAUGACAUGGGCCAGUUGAUGGCGGCUCUGGUCAAAUAUGCUGACUCUGACAGUACCAAGGAUCCCAUGUCUGACGAAGAGAAGACGAGGAAGGGAAAGAAGAACGGCAACGGCAAGGGUCACCAGCAUAACCCGACAAAUCAAGGAGGUAAUAAACGCAAGGCUGACGAGUUUGUGGCUAACACCAAUGCACAUGGCAACAACCAAUGGCGCAAGGGGAGGCCACCUCCUCGGUCAGGCGGAUCAGGUCCCACCCUCGAGCAACUACUAAAUGAACCCUGUCCGGGACAUGGCACCCGGGAGAAGCCGGCUACCCAUCUGUGGAAGGAUUGUACGAUCAUGAAGGCUUUUAAGAAUUCUAACAUGUUUGAUGGUAACCACGGGCCUGCUGGCGGCUCAGGCGGUGGCGGUUUUCAUGGCCAAGGCCAUCCGGGUAGUCAAGGCGAUUAUAGUCAGCAAUCCGGCCAGGGCAGUCAGCAACAGCAGCAACAGCCCGUGUAUCAGAGUAACCCAAAACAGCUGAACAGUGGACAGUACCAUGUGUUUACCACCAGUUUGUGCAAGAGGGACCAGAAGCUUCAGAAGAGGGAUGUAAAUGCUAUUGAGCCGGCGGUUCCACGUUAUUUGAGAUGGUCUGAACAACCUAUUCUGUGGAGUAGGGAAGAUCACCCACCCCGGGUUGAUAAUCCGGGUCAUCUGGCUUUGGUGGUGGCGCCUCAGGUUGGUGGAUAUAAGUUCACUAAAGUGCUCAUGGACGGAGGCAGUAGCAUCAACGUCCUCUAUUAUGAGACGUUCUGUCGCAUGGGGUUGACUGAUAAGAGUCUUAAAACAUCCAACACUGUUUUUAUGGGGUAGUGCCUGGUAAGUCGGCGUACCCAGUUGGUAAAAUUGAGCUGGAAGUGGCCUUUGGAGAUGAGUAUGAUUCUAGGGCUGAGAAGCUAACUUUUGAAGUGGUUAAAAUCAAGAGCCCAUAUCACGCUCUGUUUGGACGGCCGGCUUAUGCUAAGUUCAUGGCCCGGCCGUGUUAUGUGUAUUUGCAGCUCAAAAUGUUGGGUUAUAAAGGCACUAUCAUAGUACAUGGAAGCCGGAAAAUAGCCCUGGAAUGUGAAGAAGGUGAUGCUGCAUAUGCCGAGUCUGUUUGUGCAACAGAGGAAUUGAAGUUUUAUAAGGAUAAUGUUGACCCGGCAAACAUGGCGUCUUUGAAGAAGCCAACUACGGAGCAUGAGCCGGCAUUGAAAUUCAAGUCCGCUGAUGACACCAAGAUGAUUGAUUUCGUGUCUGGCGACUCAUCCAGACACUUCAUUAUCAGUGCUAACUUGGAUCCAAAAUAGGAAAGCGUGCUCAUCGAGUUCAUCCAUGAGAACCGGGACAUCAUUGCAUGGAAGCCUUCUGACAUGCCGGGUGUUCCGAGAGAACUCGUUGAGCACACUCUCAAUAUUCAUCCAAAGUUUAAGAUGGUCGGGCAAUUUCUUCGGCGGUUUAACGAGGAAAGGUGCAAGGCCAUUGGAGAAGAGGUGGCCCGGCUCUUGGCGGCCGGGUUCAUUGUUGAAGUUUUUCACCCAGAGUGGUUGGCUAACUCGGUGCUUGUGCUUAAAAAGAACGGCACCUGGCGCAUGUGUGUGGAUUACACAAAUUUAAACAAGGCUCGUCCAGCUGAUCCUUUUGCUCUCCCUCGUAUUGAUCAAAUCAUUGAUGCUACGGAGGGUUGUGAGCGUUUGAGUUUUCUGGAUGCUUAUUCGGGUUAUCAUCAGAUCAAGAUGGCAGUUAAGGACCAGGAGAAAACAGCUUUCAUCACUCCGUUUGGAGCCUUCUGCUAUGUGUCUAUGCCUUUUGGGCUCAAGAGUGCCCACGCGACUUAUCAGCGGUGUGUACAAAAUUGCCUUCAUAAUCAGAUUGGGUGUAAUGUUCAUGCUUAUGUGGAUGAUAUAGUGGUGAAAUCCAGAGAGAAGGAAACCUUAGUAGCUGAUCUAAAGGAAACCUUUGGUAACCUCCGGGUCUACAAGAUGAUGCUUAACCCGGCCAAGUGUGUUUUUGGAGUCCCAGCUGGCAAGCUCUUGGGUUUUUUGGUGUCUAAUGGAGGCAUUGAGGCUAACUCGGAGAAAAUAAAGGCAACCACGUCUUUGGCUAAACCGGCAUGCAUCAAUGACGUUCAGCGGCUGGCGGGCCGUGUCGCAGCUUUAAGCCGGUUUAUAAGUCGGUUGGGCGAGAAGGCUAUGCCAUUGUAUCAAAUGAUGAAAAAGGUGGAUGACUUUGUAUGGAGUGACGCUGCUGAUUCCGCUUUUGAAGGUUUGAAAAGACAGCUUGCUGGGCCACCUAUUCUUGCUGCCCCCGUUGAGAAGGAGCCGCUAUUGUUAUAUGUGGCUGCUAACUCACAAGCCGUCGGCAUGGCCAUUAUUGUGGAGCGCAAGGAGGUUGGCAAGGAACAUCCAGUUCAAUGGCCGGUUUACUACGUCAGUGAGGUGCUCAUUGGAUCCAAGAAAAGAUACCCACAUUAGCAAAAACUUGUUUAUGGGGUGUUCAUGGCAAGCCGGAAGCUUAAGCAUUACUUCCAGGGUCAUCCUAUCACUGUGGUUAGCUCUGCUCCUUUAGGAGAUAUUAUUUAGAACAGAGAAGCCACAGGACGAGUCGCCAAGUGGGCCAUUGAGCUUGGGGUCUCAUAAUAUAAAGUAUGUGCCACGUACGGCUAUUAAGUCUCAAGCACUGGUGGACUUCAUUAAUGAUUGGACGGAGUUACAGACACCUGAAGAGAAGCCAGACAACACAUAUUGGACGAUUCAUUUCGAUGGGUCCAGGCAGUUGGAAGGCUCGGGGGCUGGAGUUGUGUUAACUUCUCCUCGAGGUGACAAGUUUUGUUAUGUGUUGCGAUUGAUGUUUCCUUGUACUAACAAUGCAGCAGAAUAUGGGGCCUUGCUCCAUGGUCUUCGAAUGGCUAAAGAGAUGAGUUUAAGACGGGUACGGUGCCUUGGCGACUCAGAUUUGGUGGCUCGGCAGGUGUCAGGCAAGUGGGAUUCCAAGGACCCUCUCAUGGCGGCUUAUCGCCGGGAAGUUGAUGAUGUUGUUGGACAUUUCAAAGGUUAUCAGGUGGAGCACAUUGACCGCAGAAAAAACAAAGCGGCUGAUGCUUUAAGCCGGUUGGGAUCACAGCGUAAGCUGGUGCCACCUAACACUUUUCUAGAUGUUCUUCAAAACCCUUCUGUCAAACUGCCUACAGAGGAAGAUUUGGUCAUUCCAGACCCGGAGGCACAGUUAGUAGCGGCUCUUCAUGUUAUUCCAGAUUGGACAUUACCGUAUUUGGCUUACAUGACCCGGGGUGAGUUGCCAGAGGAUGAGACCUUGGCUCGACAGAUAACCCGACGGUCUAAGUCAAUGACAAUUUCCAAUGGUGAGUUGUAUCAUCGCAGCGUCACUGGAGUGUUUCAACGUUGUGUCUCUCCCGAAGAAGGUCAAGAAAUUCUUCGUGAGAUCCAUGAAGGGGAUUGUGGUCAUCACGCUGGUUCAAAGUCUCUUGUGGCUAAAGCUUUUCGUCAUUGUUUUUACUGGCUAACGGCUCACGCUGAUGCAGAGGAUCUGGUCAGUAGGUGUGAUGGGUGUCAAAAAUUUGCACGACGAGCGCACGUGCCGGCUUAAGAAUUGCGGAUGAUUCCAAUCACUUGGCCGUUUGCAGUCUGGGGGCUUGACAUGGUUGGACCUUUUAAAAGAUCCAAGGAUAAAAAGACACAUCUUUUGGUGGUAGUUCACAAAUUUACAAAAUGGGUUGAGGCAGAGCCGGUUAGUAAGUGUGAUGCAGCCACGAUGGUUCAGUUCAUGAAAAAGGUGAUCUUUCGUUUUGGCUUUCCACAUAGCAUUAUAACUGACAAUGGUACUAAUCUGUCCAAAGGCAACAUGGAGGAGUUUUGUCAAUGUGAGCAUAUCCGGCUUGAUGUUUUGUCUGUAGCUCACCCCCAAUCCAAUGGUCAAGCUGAGAGAGCAAAUCAGGAAAUCCUAAAAGGUCUCAAGCCCGACUUAUGGUUCGUUUACAACGGACGCCGGGUUGUUGGGUGGAGGAAUUACCCUCGGUGCUGUGGAGUAUCAAUACCACUCCUAACAGAUCUACAGGUUAUACACCUUUCUUCAUGGUUUAUGGAGCAGAAGCAGUUCUGCCUAGUGACAUCCGUCAUGACUCACCUCGCGUGGCGGCCUAUGUUGAAGCUGAUAAUGAACAAGCCCGACAGGAUGCACUUGACUUGUUAGAUGAGGAGAGAGAUUUGGCAGUGGCUCAAUCAGCAAUUUAUCAACAAGACUUGCGCCGUUAUCACAGCCGCCGGGUUAAGUCCAGAACCUUUCAAGAAGGUGACCUAGUGCUCCGGCUCAUCCAGGAUCUGUCUGAUGCACACAAGCUAUCCCCGCCUUGGGAAGGACCCUUUGUGGUCAACAAGAACUUAAACAAUGGGUCAUAUUACCUCAUUGAUGUUCGAGAGCACAAAGACCCACGUAAGUCGGAGGAGGAGACCCGCCGGCCGUGGAACAUCGCUCAGCUUCGGCCAUACUACACUUAAACCAUCGGCUCUCAUCAUGUACAUACUUUGACGUUGUAUAUAAUAUGAUAAGUAAUAAAGCAGGACCUCUGUCCUUUUUCCCCUUCAAUGAUCAUAUAUCUUUAUUAUUUUCAUUAUUUAAAAUGACCAUUAGGGGGCUGAUCGUAUCCGAAUCUAGCUUAACCCUUUUGGUCCGGCUCAUGAUCGUAUUCGAAUCUAGCCGUAAAACUCAUGGUCACUUGGGGGCUUCCUGUUCAAACAUAGGUCGUAUUCGAACCAAAGAGAACAUAGCUGUCGUAACCCUCUUGAUCGGCUCAAAGCCAAACUCACUAGGGGGCUUCUUGAUCGUAUCUGAAUCAUAGCUUAACCCCUUUUUGGGUCCAACUUGGAUCGUAUUCGAAUCAGGGUCGUUAAAAACCUCUCAAGGUCAUUUGGGGGCUUCCUAUUCAAACAUAGGUCGUAUUCGAACCAAAGAGAACAUAGCUGUCGGUACCCUCUUGAUCGGCGCAACGCCAAAGCCACUGGGGGCUAUAUGAUCGUAUCCGAAUCUUAGCUUAACCCCUUUGGUCCGGUUUACUGAUCGUAUUCGAAUUAGAAGCCUCCAGUUUUUAUUUAAAUGUUUGAUUUACAUUGUCUGAAGCCUAGUGUUUUAUCUUACUAUUUUUAUCGUCUCAAAUCUAACUGUUAGUAUGGUUUCAAAUUAAACCGGCUUGGCUAUUUGACAAUGUGUCGCCAAGGCAUAACAGUCAUCAGACAUAUGGAAGUAUUGACUUCUAAAAAAGAUUGGGUUAUCAACCUCAUCAUCCGGGUCAUGUAAACCGACAGUCCAUGUUCAAAAACCACAGGUAUGACAGUGUCAUUCAUGAACAGACUUCCCUGGGUUUUUCGUCAGUCAAAGGAUUUUUCAGCCUUGUUUAUCUUACAUCUGGUUCUAUUUUUUCCACUAUGAUAAUUUCAUAAUCAUGUACCGGGUGUUUUGACCCGUCCGGUGCUAAGCCACCGGGACAGUUUUUUUCAUCUUUUACAGGAACAGAGUUAAAACAUUACAGAUGUAACCACGAUGUAAUGCAUAUAUAUAUUGACAUCAUGGGCAAAGAGUCAUAUGAAACAUCUUAUGCACGAUGGCAUAGGCAAAAUAUGCAAUUUUCAAACUAACCUAUUACAAGGCAUUGAGAGCCCAAAAGGUUAAACGGUUUUCUCUCUUAAGCAGGUCUUAAGCUAAAAACUGGAUUGUUCAGAUGGUUAUGACUCCUCCCUGGCCGUUUCACCUCCCUCCACUGGUUGGAAGCUGGGAUUGGACCAGUCAAAGCCGUUCAGAGCAAUGAACUCAGCCUCAUCGUCAAUUAGGCCGGCCGGGUCAAUUUGCAGGGCAAAAGUGUGUUGACGAACCGGCGGGAUAAGAUCCAUCACUUUAUAAGAGGGAGUCGCCAUCUUUUUAUUCUCCAUAUCAAAACCCGACUGAUAUUUUUCGAUGUUGGUCUCCUCACCAAGAAUGGUAGCCUGAGGACGAACUCCCCUCACACAAGCAAUAAAGUCAUCUUGCUCAAACGGAGUCCCGUCUUCCUUCAUGGUAGGGUACCCCUUAGCCACGUCCACCGGGUGUAAAUCGGGCACCCAGGCUUUGGAGCGGCUCAGGGCAGUCAGGGCUCCGACUCUGGCACAAGAUCGUUUGACCUCUUGAAAUCUGGCGGGUAAGAUCGAUAACUUCUUCAAAACAUCACUUAAACGGUUGGGUCCUUGGUUGGCAGGGGAUAUAUAUAGUAGAAAGUGCUCGUUGAGCACCAGUGUACAGUUGCUCCACCAAGGUAUAAACCGCCUUCAGUUUUGUCACACUAUCUUGACUCAGAUAUUUUACUUCGUGGACCUGUGAGUACUUUUUAACAAAGGCUCAGCAGGCGGCUUAUAUUUCUGGUUAAAAUAAAGUAUAAGUGACUAAUGCAAAUGACUUACCAAAGAUGGCGGAGACCAUUUGAUACACACGGUUUUUUAAGCCGGUGAGCUCCAUGGUAACCUCCUCAAGAGUCGCCUCUGCUGUCUUGGCACGUUGUGUCAGCAAGGUCUUCUCAUCGGCCCAGGAUUUCUUCUUCUCAGUCACACUGGUCUUCAAUUUUUCAGUUUUAGAGAGACUCAAUUGGAGUUUGGAGUUAGCAGUCUUUAUCUCCGCUUCUUGAUCCGCCAGCCGGGUCUUUGCAUCCGUCAAUUGAGAUCCCAAUUCAGUUAGGGCGGUCUACAAACAUGCAUAGGUGUGUCAAAAUUUAAACACAAGUUAUAUUGAUUAAAGUCGCGAGUGCUUUGCAACGCAACACCACUUGGCACUUGGGGGCUAAUGUCUGCCAAAGCAAUUUUAUGCAAAAUGACUCUUCUAUGUUUCAAGUCCCAAGUGUUUUACAAAGUAACAACGCUUGGCACUUGGGGGCUAAUGCAUGAUAUUCAGAAAGUUUUUCAAGAUGAGCCGGAUCACACUACUUAUUUGGACUAAUCUAAGACAGUUAUGAAGUUAAGUACCGGGUCAUUUAUGAUAAAUUGAGCCGGCCCUUGGGGACUACAUGUGAAGUUUAUACUAAUCCGUUGAACUUAGGAAAAAUCUAAAGACAAGGUAUCAACCUAUAUCAUAAGUCUACAGAUCAUUCAGGUUCAUCAUAAUCUGAAGACUUGGGGGCUGGCAGAGUAUAUAUAAACCGGAGAACGUACCUCAUAUUCUGUAACAUCCCAAAUUUUCAAUUUGGAAUGUUACACGUUAGGUCAUCAUGCAUAUCAUAUUUUAUUUUUCUUUUGGUUUUGAUCCUAGAAAAUCCUAAGCAACUCAAGGACCCACGGAGAGAGUUGGGGAUUUCAUUAUUUACAUAUUUGAGUUUUCUCAAAUUAUGUAAACAGGAUCAUUUGAUUUUAUUUAUUCUAUCAUCAAUUAUUUCUAUUACAAAAAUAUGAGAGAGGGAAUAAAAUGACUUUUCCAAAAUAUAGAAAUAUUGAGGAUUUAAUAAAAAAUCAAAUAAGUUUUAUUUCGGAGUUUUUUGGUAUUUUUAUUUGAAUUUAGGAAAAAUGCGCGUUUUUCAAAUUGUAGUUUGGGCCCAGAUAAAUGUUCACUUUAUCGGGCUUGAUUUUAGGAACCCGGCAAAAUUUAUUUCGUGAUUUUUGGAGUCCGUUUAGUAUUUCUUUUUAUUUUUCUUCCGAGCGGAUUUAAAAAAAAACUAGAACCGACUCCGUGCCGUAACCGGCCAGGAAACCUCCGCCCGGGGCCUUUAUAUAGCGCCCGAACCGGCCGAGAGAGAGAGAGAGGCCCGAAGCCAGCUAACCCUAACCCUAGCUAAGCCGCCGCCGCCUCCCAGCCGUCGCCGCCCGCCGCUGCCGACUCGCCGGAGCGCGCGCCUUUCGAGGUUCGCCGCCGCCUCGUUUUCCGUGAAGUUUUUUUUUAAAAAAAAAAUCUGUUCGUCGUUUUUCUUUUUCGUCGGAUUUUCCGCGGUUAUUUUCUGAUCGCGAUUUCUGAUCCGGUUUUCGUUUUAGUAUAACUUUUCGCUCGUUUAUCGGAAUCAGGCGAUUCAAGCGCCUGGAGUUUCGUCUCGAAACCCUCUUUCCGAAUAAUCAACUUAAACAAGUUUUUGCUACUGUAAAAUUUGCCCUAGAUCCAGAUUACUAGAAGGAAGUUGUUUUUUUUGCCGUUUGAUUUCUUUCGCUUCGUUCGAUUUGAUUCUUUUGCCAACCAGGGUUCUUAAGUUGAACUUUCUGGUUAGAUCUUCUAUUUGAGUUUUACUUGUGCAUUAGAUGAGUACUUAUUGUAUGCUUGAUGUUUGUCUGUGAUAGAAUACCCGGAGUGCGCCGCCUGUUACUUCGAAUCUCUAGGUUUCGCGGAUCAUCAGCAAGGCAAGUAACACUUUGAUCAUACCUUUUCUACAACCCAGUUUUAUUGCAUUAGAUCAAUCCUCACACAUUGCAUGAUUAGGAUCUAAUUAAAUUGUGGGAUGGGAAGUAGAUGAGGUAGUACCUAUUACCUGUUUAUUAUCAAACCUUUGGGAGUUACUUCUACGUUUGCUUAUGCCAUGUUAUGCCGGUAGACGUGGAUUGGGUGAGUGAUAUCCAUGACAGAUGUGAGAUUUAUAAUUAAGGGUUAUCUAAGGUGGCAACCUAACACACAUCUGGGUGGAUUGAGGCACCUGGGGUUACCAGGACUUGCCUGUUUUCUUUUGGACCGCCACCCAGGCCCAAAGGGAUCAUGAGAUUUUUCAUACUAGAAACUUCCGUGUGCAGCCACAAGCCAUUAUGGGCUCUGGCAUAGUUGACUAAGUUGUGCGAACUCUUACAGUGGUAGACUAGCAGAUGUAGGGGAAAGUAGGUGUACCGGUCUACCCGUCGUAAGGUGCUAGCGCUUCUGAAAGACUGUGUCUCGGUCAUCCGUUUCUCAAACACCUUGUAGUGCGAGAAACCAAACGGAGGUGAUCGAGUCUUGUGGGGAAAAGUGCGCAAACCUCUGCAGAGUGUAACAAACUAAUCAUGGUUAGCCGUGUCCCUGAUUAUGGACAUCUUGAGUAUCUAUUACCUGGAUUAUCAUGUGAAUCUCAACAUGUUACUCUAAAAUUAAUUUUGUGGGAUUUUAAUGAUGUUACUUAAUUGGGAUUGAGGAUGCUGUCAACCAUUCUCAAUGUUUAACAACCACCAUGAUAGUAAUUAAUUUUAUUCCUUUGAAGUAGGGAAAAAUUGGCUUUACGCAAAAACUGUAACCAUAGAGCUUUCCACCAGCCAAAUAUGCAUAUAGUAUAGUUGUUGCAUUCCAUUACUCUCUAUGUGUUACCUUGCCAGCAUAUUCCAUGUGCUGACCCGUUUCGGGCUGCAACGUUAAUGUUGCAGACUUUUCAGAUGACGAUUGAGGAAUUUUAGGUCGUGGUUCUAUACUCAGUGAUGCCGUUGGAGUUGAUGGACUCACUUAUCUUCCAAGCCUUCCGCUGUUAUCGUUAUUAGAUGGCCUUAAGCCAUAUUUAUUGUAAUAAGUUCUCUUUUGAGACACUCGAUGUAAUAAGUGUGUGAUUGCUACUCUGCUAUAAAUCCUCCGAGUACUGUGUGGUGUCAGCAUUACUGAUCCAAGGAUGACAUCGGAGCACAGAGAUCAGACUGUUUAAGGUCUGGUCGCUACAUAUUCCAGUUGCAAUUGCUUGACCAUCUCAAUUUCCGAGUCACGGCUGGAAUGCACAGGACUGAGAUAGCCGGACAGCAUGUCACUAACAUUCAGAUGAGCAUAGUGAGAGAUAUCAAAUUGUACUUUCUGUCUUUCCAAGGCCUCCUGUUUAGCAGAAUGCCUGGCCAGCACAGUCGGAUUACCCGGCGCAACAAAUCUGCUGCCAGUGAUCAAAACGUCAUGGUCAGAAGAUGCUGGCAGGUUAGCUGAACCGGACGGUCUGACGGUGGAUGGAUCGACAAUGGUUUCGUCAGCUGACGGCUCAGGAGGGUCCAAUUGAGCAUGGACAGCUAAAUCUUCUGGCGCUUCAGAUUGAGUGGGAGGAGUUGAUGUUGCCAGUUCAGGUGCAGGAUUUUUUGGGUCCUCUGCCGGUUUAAUCACCUUGGCUUUCUUGGACUUUGCUUGACCGCUAAGAAAGAUUUUUAUGAAAUAGUUAGUAUAAUGAUGCAGUUUUAAAAAUGUAGAGGAAAGAUGAUUUUCCUUACCCAUGGGCAGUCUUGAAAGCCGGAAAUUGAGUUUGGGAUGAGUCGCCAGAAGAGCGAGAGACCUCCUGCAAAGGUAAAAUAAAGUUAAGAAUAUAAGGAAAUAAAUUCAUGGAUAAAAACAAAGGACAAAGGUGAAAGAAACCUCAUUCUGGCGUUUUUGAGGAGUUUUUUCUAAGUCGAAAGGUGGUUCAUCAUCAUCAUUAGUCCGGGCCAGAUGGCGGCUCUCAUGUUGCUGCUUUUUCAAAAGAAAAUGAGGGUCCAAAUAAGCCAAAGGGUGCAAAAACCUUACUUUCCGGGUUACCAGUCGAAGUUUCUGUCUCGGCAAAGGGGCUGAGUCGUAGGAAAUAGUUACCUCUUCUUCCGCGGCCUGGCUGGCCCCCGUGUCAUCCUGGCAAUAGUCAGUGUCAAUAAGAUAGUUGAAAAUUUGGCCAAGGGAGAAAGGGCUACCUCCGACUCAGAAACAUCAUCAAGCUGGAAGAUGUCAGAUGCAGUCUUCUUCUUGGGCUUCCGGGUCGUUCUCUUGGCGGCUACGGCAGCGGAUCUAGCCUUCUUGGUAGCUUCAUGAUCAUACUUGGCCUUCCAGAAGUCAGAUUUGUCCUGUAAACAAAUAAAGAGGUUAAAAGGUCAUGCAAGUAUUUAAACUACUGAGGUAAACACAAAAAGAGAAAAAGGUCAAGAAGUUACCUCUGGUGUCGGGUUAAGUUUGCAGAAGGGGUUUAAUCCAACCUUGCUGUAGUCCUCGUAUUUGCCAUUCACGAGGAUGGUAGACAUUGCAACAAUGUCUUCUUCAGUUAAUUGUACAGAGCUAUAACGCAGAGAAUCAUUUGGGCCUCCGCCAUACUUAUACAUCAACUUGGAUCGGCGGCUUAGAGGGAUGACCCGCCAUGAGAUCCAGCAAUGGAUCAGGUCAACUCCGGUUAAGCCAUUUCCCAAUAAAGCUUGAAUCCUUUUGACAGAUGGGAUAAGCUUCUUGCGUUCAGCAGUAGUAAGCUUGUCAGGGAGCACAAACUUGGAAUCAAGACGCUCUUCACGAUAACCCGGCAGUGGUUUUUCAUCAGCCGGUGAUGUAUCUUGGCAGUAGAACCAGGUUUGCUUCCAGUCUUUGGGAUGGCUCGGUAAGACCACUAAAGGAAAAACGGCACCUUGUCAGCGUUGAAUUGAAAUUCUGCCAAGUUCCAAGCUAAGGCCGUUGGUGCACUCAUUCUGGCGGUUCAAGUAAAAGUACUCUCUAAAGAGCUCCACAGUUGGUUCUUCUUGAAGAUAUACCUCACAAAGAACUUGAAAAUUGCAGAUGUUGGAUAUAGGGUUGGGUCCAAUAUCUUGUGGAUGAAGCUUGAAAAAAUGCAGGACAUCUUGGACGAACUUUGAGCCGGGUGGUGAGAAGCCCCGGUUCAUGUGAUCUGUGAAAACGAUAACUUCGCCGUCUUUGGACUAAGGUCGUUCUUCGUCCGGGUCAGGAGCACGAUAAGACAUAACGCUUUUCUCUGGCAAAAAUCCAAUGGUGACAAAUUAUUUCAAGGUAUCUUCAGUAACUGUGGAAGGCACCCGGUUGCAGACAGUUGGCGCUUUUGACGGCAUGAUGAAGAAAGGGCAAGCUGAAAAGAAAGUAAUUUGCCGGUUCAAUUUAUUGGUGGAGUUACAGGUUCAUGAUUAUAGUACAGAUGAGUAAUGGCGGCUUAAGUAAGGGCUAAUGACAUGUAAAGGAAAAAUAAGCCGGAGUCAUAAGCCGCCAUGACUAAAAAGUAUUUGAAGGUUGCCAGAAUCAAAAUUGACUAAAGUGUUGAGACAAACAGGUUUCCCAAGUUGUGGCUAUUAUUAUGGAUCAAAAUGGUUCAGAAAAUAAAAAUAAAGUUAGACCUAGAAAACGAGCACAGAGGAGUUUGUCAGCUCUAAAGAGGCAUUUAUACAGGAGAAGGGGAUCUGUUAGCUUCAAAAAUGGAUGAGAAAUAGCUACCUCAUAAGUUUUGUACUACUUUUAGAUCAAAAGAGGGUGCGGUAAGAGAAGUUGCAACGAAUCUAUGACGAACAACGAAGAACACAAGAAGGAAACCUCCCGAACCCUAAUGCAGAUCUAUGGGGGUGAGAAGGUGAGAGCUUACAGGUGCGGAGCUGCUGCGGAGGAUCGCCACCGUUCUCUGGAUAGACUCAGGGUGAUGCUGCGGCCAGAGUUGAGGACGACGGUGCGCUACGGUGGCGACGGAGCUCGAGCGGCAAAGAAGGUGCGAGAGGAAGAAGAAAGAGGAAGGACUGGCCGAGCCUAUUUAUAAGGGGGUAAGUGAACGGGCAGACGCAAAAAUUGAGGAAGACCAAAGUAAUGAUUAUCCAGCUAAAUGGACGCCUCGAUCUUCGGAAAACAUUUAAGAUAAGGAUCCGUUGAAGAUGAAAUCGUGGUGUUUUUCCAAAUUUUUUCAAUCCUAAUGGUUGGUUAAUAAAAUAAGCUCAGUGAAUAUACAAGGCGAUAGUUUAUUAUAAGACUUGUAGUAGGCCCAAGCCCAAAGGCGGUUUAAGGCCCAUAAUUGUAAACCGCCAUGUAUAAGAAAGACUUGUAAAGAAAGGCAUGUAAGAGAAGUCACCGAGCCGAACACGUUAUAUGAGCCGGCCGGGACUCUGUAGGCUGCCAGGCGUCAACCCAUGUAUAUAAGGGGAUGACCCGGUGGCUGCUUAGGACAAGUAACAUCAAAUCAAGAGCCAUGCAUAGCGUAUUUGCUCCCUGAUCAUCGAAACCUAGCAAUAUCACAUCAACUGGACUAGGCUUUACCUUCACCGUAAGGGGCCGAACCAGUAUAAACCUUUCGUGUCCUUUGUCCCGAUUAACCCCUUUAAGCUUCCUAGUUGCGAUGGCUCCACGGCUAAGUCCUUUCACUAGGACAUCAUCCGUGACAAUUCCACGACAACUCUGGUGCGGAUCUUACUAUGGUUGACCUACGAGGUUCAGCGGUAACUUGAUCUGAAGUUUCAUGAUCAUCAUCAUUAGCUUCCUCACUAAUUGGUGUAGGAAUCACUGGAACUAAUUUCUGUGAUGAACUACUUACCAAUUCGGGAGCAGGUACAAUUGCCUCAUCAAGUUCUACUUUCCUCCCACUCACUUCUUUCGAGAGAAAGUCCUUCUCUAGAAAGGAUCCUUUCUUAGCAACGAAUAUAUUGCCUUCGGAUCUGUGAUAGAAGGUGUACCCAACAGUCUCCUUUGGGUAUCCUAUGAAGACACAUUUCUAUGAUUUGGGUUCGAGCUUAUCAGGUUGAAGCUUUUUCACAUAAGCAUCACAGCCCCAAACUUUAAGAAACGACAACUUAGGUUUCUUGCCAAACCACAGUUCAUAUGGUAUCAUCUCAACGGAUUUAGAUGGUGCCCUAUUUAAAGUGAAUGCAGUCUGAAAGUGCGUUAUAUCGACUAGAGGGGGGGUGAAUAGGCGAUUUUUAUGAAAGUCUUCAAAACAUGGAAGUUUCGAAGACAAACGAUAGAAAUAAACCUAUUACCAUGCAGUGGAAGUUAGACUACACUAGAUAAACCGUAGUCAUGUAUUCAAUGAAGUGAAAGGACAAUGACUAAUAGUAGCUAGGUAGUAAGGAUCAGGCAGGAAGAUAUUAAGAAGCCAAACGGAUCACACAGUCACUCAGUGAAGACAAAAGAUAGAGAAAACAUACAAUGACUUCACACAGAGUAACAGUAAGUAAAGAGAAGGGAAGGAUGAAACCAGUGACUCGUUGAAGACAAAGAUUUGUUGGACCAGUUCCAGUUGCUGUGACAACUGUACGUCUGGUUAGGGCGGCUAGGUAUUUAAACCAAAGGACACACAGUCCCGGACACCCAGUCCUGAACACGCAGCUCAGGACAUCCAGUCCUCACCGUAUUCCCCUUGAGCUAAGGUCACACAGACCUCGCCCAAUCACUCUGGUAAGUCUUCAAGGUAGACUCCCAAACCUUCACAGACUUCGUUCACCGGCAAUCCACAAUGUCUCUUGGAUGCUCAGAACGCGAUGCCUAACCAGCUGGAGGAUGCACAGUCCUCAAGUGUAAUAAGUCUUCAGAUCACUCAGACAAGAAGACUUAAGUGAUGCCUAAUUCUCUUUCGCUCUGGGUGGUUAGGGCUUUAUCCUCGCAAGGAAUUCUCUCUCAAAGGCUUCGAGGUGGGUUGCUCUCAAACGACAAAAGCCGUACUUUGAAUCUGAGUAGCCAACCGUUUAUGGUUGUAGGGGGUGGGCUAUUUAUAGCCACUAGGCAACCCGACCUGAUUUGUCCGAAAUGACCCUGGGUCACUAAGGAACUAACAUGUGUUCCAACGGUCAAAUUUCAAACUCACACGGAAACUUUACUUGGGCUACAAGCAAAGCUGACUUGUCCGACUCUGGACAAGAUUUUCUCUCAUAGUCUUCACUCGAAGACAUAGGUUUUUGUUUAAGCAUCACUUUAGUCAUUCUGACUGGCUCUCUUGGACCCCACUUAACAGUAUGUUGGUUCCUAUGACUCAACACAGAAGAAAAAGAACUACGAAAAAUCUAAGUGUUCAAGCUCCAUAGGCUUCAUGCGGUGUCUUCUCUUGUCAUAGUCUUCAAUGUGAAUAUCUUCAUAUACCACCUUUGACAUCAAUGUCUUCAUACACUUUUAGGGGUCAUCUCUGGUGGGAAAACCGAAUCAAUGAGGUACUUCUACCUGUGUUAUCCUGCAAUUCUCACAAACACAUUAGUCCCUCAACUAGGUUUGUCGUCAAUACUCCAAAACCAACUAGGGGUGGCACUAGAUGCACUUACAAUCUCCCCCCUUUUGGUGAUUGAUGACAAACUAGUUGAAGUUUUCAACGGGGAAUAUAAUGUGUGAAAUUGUAAAGGAUAAGGAAUUGUCUUCAUAAGUUACAAGGGCUCCCCCUGAAGAUGUGCAUAUAAGUAAUUUGCUUUUGGAAUGCAAAUGCACAUGGCAGGUUGUGCUUGUGGAGAUCCACUUCAACUUAUGAUGACAAUCCACUAUGCAUGUGAAAGUAUGUGAAGAUAAUGACAUGCAUAAUGGAAAAUGGAUGUCUGCAGAAUGAUCUAAGUGCGGAAUCUAUCAUCGCACAUGCGGAAUUUAUCAUCACAACACAAGGUAGCAAAUAGGUAGCAGACGACCAUCAAGUUUAAGUGUUACAACUCAAAGAACCAAAUGUUUCAAAACGAGAGUUGUAAGCACGAAGCAAAAUAUAAAACACCCGCCCAUAUGGACCCAUUUGAAGACUAUCAAACUCAUAUGCUUCUCCCCCUUUUGACAGUAAGGACCAAAAAGGUUUGAAGACAUAGAGCCUCUACUCGUUCCCAUGAGGAGUAGGUGAAGCAGCAGGAUCGUUGAUGGUGUUUGGCAGUGCAGACGAGCUUGGAGCAGUGUCGACGUGUGCUGAAGGAGGCGGCGAAGAAGUAGCAUCGUCUUCAUCCUCGAUCACUCUGGCAUUCACGGUUGCAGUAGAGGAAGAGAACUCAGGGUCUUCAAGUGAUGGAGUUCGUCGCAGCACAGCCCUGCGAGGAGGUGUGGAGUCAAACUUGAAGCGCUCAGUGAAGCCAUCCUCUUGCAGAUCAUCUUCAGAACACAGCAGCGUCAGCCCUUUCCAUGUGCGUCGAGAUGUUUCAUGAGCAACAAAGGCGUUCUUGGUGGCAAGAUUGUGAAUGCGAUUAACAUCCACCAAGAGGCUUUGCAUUUGACGCUUUAGCCAGUCAUGAUGCCUAUCCUGUUUCUGAUGAAGGGCCACCAGAAGCUCUCGGUCAUUGAGGACACGAGUGCGCUUCUUGGGUCGUUGAGCAAUGGUGCUAUCAGUGGCUUCAGUAAGAGCAGGAUGCGGGGCACGGGUAGUGCCAGCCAAAGGAUACACACGUGUUACUGCUUCAAUGCCUUCAACGUUCCGAGAGAAACUUUGAUGCUCUGCAUUCUGAAGACUUAGAGGUUCCUUGGCAGGCUCAGGAUAUAUGGCUUCAAUAGACAUAUCCACAUCAGGCAAAAAGAUCCGAUGAUUGCGGGCAGAUGGCUGAUAUGAGAUAGCAGAGUGAAGUUUGAUCAGCCGCAUCACCCAAGGGGCGUAGAACUUCAACCCAAAUAGAUCAGAGCCAGAUGCAGCAAGUUGGCGAAUGAAGAAAUCCUAUGUAUUGAAGCAUUUUCCAUGAAGAAUAUAGAAGACCAAAGUCUUCAUUGCACCUUCCAGCUGGGCAUGGGGAGAAUGUCCUUUGAUUGGCCAGAGAGUUCGCCUUAUGAUAUGAUAAAUGGUCCUUGGCAGAUACUCAAGGUCUUCAACAAAGAACUCCGUGGGAUAAGCAGCAUCUUGGGGCAAUGGCUUCAUCAUACUGAGCAUCUGACUCAUAUUGGGUUCAGUCUUCUGAAAGAUGCUCUCAACAGCUUCAAUGUGAAGCUGACAGCCAUGCUCAUAGAGAUCGCCAGGAGUGGGCAAGCCAGUGAGCUCAAUGAUGUCAAAGACUUUGGCUUCGUGAUGAACAUUUCCAGUCAUCCACUCUAGGACCCAAGUCUUUGGAUCUCUGUUAUACCCGCGGAUGUGAAGUGUGGCAUAGAACUGGAGCAGCAACUCUUCAUUCCAAUGCUCUUGGUCAGUGACGAAUGGUAGCAGCCCAACUUCAUUGAAGCAAUCCAAAGCUUCUUCCAGACAGGCAGACCAGCUAUAGCUUCAAUGUCAAGGCGCUUGUGUGGGAAGAUGCGACCUUUGUUGUAAAGAAUGCAUGAGUAAUAGCUUCGCUGCUGAUAGCUCCAGAACCGAUCAGAUGAUAUUCUUUCCCUGGAGUAGGGGUUCCUGGAGCUAUUGAAGAAUGUGUUGUCUGCUCUGAAGCCAUUGAUGUUAAAGGAGCCAGGUGCUAAUGCAGGACCUGGGAACCUGGGCAAUCUUGGGAUUGGCUUCUGGACCUGAGGCCUGUGCUCAACAUGAUAGUCGAAUUGGGGACCGGCAGCAGACGCAGGAACAGGAGCAGCAGGAUUAGUGGCUUCGCUGACUUCUGGUGCUGUUGGGGGUGAGGGCUCCACAUUAGCUUCAGCCAUGACGGUGUCAGUGGCUUCAGUGGUGUUGGUGGUGGCAGCCUCUAGAUUUUCAACCUCCACUUGACGAGCUGGAGGGUCGGUCAUGAUCACGUUCUCCUCGAGAACCGCUUCUUGGUGGGGCAGGGGAGUAGCAGCUUGUGGAACUUCUUCUUCCGUGGCUGAUGCAGCUAGAUUGUCUUCAGCAGAGACUUGAGGCCUUGGACCUUUGUGAAGCCUGCGCAACGCGGGCGAUGCCUGUGGAGCUGGAGUGGGCUGGGCCUCAUAGUCUUCUUCCUCUUGUUGGCGAUCCGCCCAUGAAGCAUCCUGUGCCAUUGGCGUCAGUGGACGACCAAUGCUGAUGAGUUCGUUGUUUUCAAGCUGAGGAAGAACUGCACCAUCUUCUACAUGGUCAUGUUGACCAAUGUCUUCAGCAGUGAUGGGAUCAGCUGUUGGAAAGUCUUUAGCUUUAUGAGCCUCUGUGGAAGCAGGCUCAUGGAUUGUCAGUUGGCGUUCAGCUUCAGGAUAGACCAUUGAAAUAGGUUCAACUAUCAAAGGCUCUGUGGGAGCAGCCUGUUCCUUCUUGGUCUUUCGUUUCUUCUUGGAGGGGGCAGUAGGAGAGGCUUCAGGAUGUUUCCUCUUCCUGGCUUCAGCCUCAGCAGUCCUUGUCUUCUUGAGCUCUGAAGCGGUUGACCGGCUUUUUGGCUUCAAGCCAGUCAGUCUAGUUGGGAAGACAAUCGGAACUGCUUCCUGCCUUGGUGCGUCGGAUUCAGCCGUAGCAGUCUUCUUCUUCUUCUUUGCGGCCAUCCUAGGGUCAAUGCCAGGACGCCCAAGGGCCUUGCGCUUCUCAGCCUCAUUGUAGGCUUGCACACAUCUGUCAGCCAGAGCCUUCAUGCGCUCACGUGAAUCCCGAGCUUCUGCACAUUUCUUCAGAAAGGCUUCCUUGAGCUCGUGCAUCAUGAUCUUGAAGUUCUUCACUUCUUGCACACUGAGCUUGGCCAUAUGCUUCUUGAACUGAGCCUUUUCAUAGUCAAUCUUCUGCUUUAGUUCAACAACGUGUCGGGCGAUGGCUAGCUCUGAAGCAAUGGCGCCUUGGAAGGCGACACUGAGGCCAAUGGGUAGCUGCAGAUCAUCAAAGCUGAUGUUUGGCAUAUCAAACCACUCGUCAAUGAAGUUGUGGAUGAUGGUUACAUCAAAGAGAGGCAGAUCAUUGAAGAUUUCGGCUUCUUCUUUGCUCUUGAUGAGUUGCUCAAGAGCGUCAUCUGCAAGAUCUUCAUCACUUGACAGAUCAAUGUCAUCAUUGCGCAGAAUGGCAGCAGCUGUUAGCUCUUGGCCGGUGUGUGGCAGAGGCAUCUUGGCCUUCUAGGGCUUGGAGAUGCGUGAUAAAUCUUCGGACUGCACACUGUCUUCAGGAGAUGCAGUUGCCAGUGGCUUCGCCCUUGAGAUUUUUGGUGAAGGGGCAGGCUUUGAAGCUUUGGGCUUCUUCAACUUCUUUGGUGUUGGCGCUGCAGGCGCUUCAUCUGAUUCAGCGUUAGCUGCAGGCUCAUUCACGGUUGUCCCUUGAACCAAGAUAUGGGUGAUGAGUCCUGCAAGGUUGUAGAAAGGACCGACGACAUUGGGUUCCGCAUCGCGUGUGCCGUCAGCCCUUGGAGCAGAAGGACCAGGGUUGAAGUCUAAUCCAAAAGACUUCUUGUUCUGCUUUGCUGAGUUCUUGGCAAACUGGAAGUUGCGCUUGAAUAGAUUGUCGUCACGGCACCAUAGUAGUGACGAUGGGUGUGCAUCUGCAGGCUGUGGCCCACGCACCAUGCAGGGAUAGAAGCCUUGUUCAAUGGCUUCUUCUCUGGACCUGGGUUGAAGAUUCUUGUAUAGGAUGUCUCCCCAUGGUCUCUUGAUGGCAUUUCUCUCAGCAUAUUCCUGGGUCACAAACCGGUAUUUGAACCAUUGUUCUGCCCAAUAUCUUCGAAUCCAUUGGAUUCGGGUCUUGCGCUGAUUAUAAUCCUGUUCAGGAUCUGUCUUGUAAAGCUCUGAGAGGUCAUCAGGAAAAUCUCUUGAUGUCCCCCCACGACGCUGUCUGCCACCCUUCCUUACUGAUUUCUCUGCAGCCAUGAACUUCAAACUGAAAGGCUUCAAAACGUUCAAAGGCUUCAAAGGUUUUCGCUUGCUGGACAAACAGGAACUGGCUUCGGGAGAAUUUAUAUGAUGCUGUAAGAAUUCUGCAAAUGAAUGCAGACUAUGAGAACCAAGGGAUUCUCCCAUGGACAUGUACCUGUGACAACAUUAAGGUGCAAGGGAAGGGGAAGAGGUCAUAUGCAUUCUCAGGAGAUUUUGAAGAUAAAUCAGUUUAGAAGACAUUGACCUCAUCGUGCGAAGACAUUCACUCAUAGAUAAGGAGUUGGUUCCAGAUUUGUACGAAUCCAGUGAUCAGUACAAGUGAGGAAUCUAACUACUUGUGAAGCAUAAGUGAAUAUACUAGGCAUGUUAUGAGAUGCAGUAGGAAAGAGAUCCAACUUGUGUGAAUAGAAACUUCUUAUGGUAGAAAGUGACAAAGCCAUAGGAUCAAAAGGGGCCGUAAAAAGAAGUUUUAUUUACCACACUUGGAACUGCUAGAUGGAGUGGAAGAGGAGGCCGAGCAGUUCGAUCUUCUGUGCCCUAACUUGGCGACGAAGGACACCUACGGCGACGGCGGAGAGGACGAUGUCCGCGGUCGGUGUGAAGACGGCGUCGGAGAGGUUGCGGCAGUGAAGCGCUUCGUCGCCGGCGUCGUCGAGGGCUAGCAGUGGCACUAGGGUUCGUGCGAGGGUGGAAGAAGAGAUGAUGACCGCUGUGAAGGGUGUAUUUAUAGGUACAGGGGCGGCACUGCGUUAUUACACAGGUGCCCCUGGCGAUUCACAUCUGAGGAACACGUGGCCAUCAUGCAGUAUAUUGGGGUUUGUUCCACGUCUCACGCACGCCUAGAUUGUCGGGUGGUCGUUCCUACUUCUCCGGGUUUCAUGUGGAGGAAUGGGCAUUGAAAACGGACUUAAUGUUUGUCUCUGUAUGUUCUGCUGACAAGGACGCAGAGAAGACAUUCGACAGUUUCAAUAGAAUGCAUAUGAUUUGGAGAGAUAGAGUUUGAGAUAGAGAGCACAGAGAGGUUAGGGUCCGAUCACAUUCACUUAGAUCAAAAGAUUCAACAAGAAGACAUAGCUAUAAGUGAAUACUGUAGAGGACAGAACACUAGUAUAUAUAUAUAUAUAUAAUCAACAUAGUGAAGAUAAUCAUGAAAACAUGUUGAGAUUGAAACCAAACCAAAUGUGAAGUCAUAGCAAGGUAAUGCCAUGAGUGAAACACUUCAAAUAGAACAUUUGGUGGUGGCGUUACCCACCGUAUAGGAAGUAUUAGACCCAGACACGGCGCACAAUUAUCGUGGCGCUCCGAAGUCAAAUUCCACAUUAAUGUAUUCACACUUAGAAUGUAUGUCUUCAUUGAUUGAAGAUAUACUUUACUUCGUGUGUUGCACAUCUAAGUCAUCAAUAUGCAUAAGGGUUAGGAUGUGUGCCUGAUCACAGGACAUUUGAGGAUUCCAGGAUAUUUAGCUCACAUCGUAACUUGCAAAAUCUCUUCUCAUCCAAGGGCUUGGUGAAGAUAUCUGCCAAUUGCUCUUCAGUGUUGACGUGUAUGAUAUCAAUAUCUUCCUUCACAACAUGAUCUCUGAGAAAGUGAUGACGAAUUUCAAUGUGCUUUGUCUUCGAGUGCUGAACAGGGUUGUUGGCAAUCUUGAUGGCGCUUUCGUUGUCACAGUAGAGUGGCACUUGCUUCAGAUGAAUGCCAUAGUCCUUGAGGGUUUGCUUCAUCCACAGAAGCUGAGCGCAGCAAGAUCCAGCAGCAAUGUAUUCAGAUUCAGCAGUGGAGAGAGAUACACAGUUCUGCUUCUUUGAAGACCAACAUACAGGUGAUCGUCCCAGAAAAUGACAUGUGCCUGAUGUAGACUUGCGAUCCACCUUGUCACCAGCAUAAUCAGCAUCCGAGAAUCCAACCAGAUCAAACUCUGAGCCCUUUGGAUACCAUAAUCCUAGAGUUGGGGUGUGAGCCAAAUAUCGAAGAAUUCGCUUCACAGCUAGGUGAUGCGACUCCUUUGGUGCCGCUUGAAAUCGAGCACACAUGCAAACACUAAGCAUAAUAUCUGGCCUAGAUGCACAUAGAUAAAGCAAAGAACCAAUCAUGGAGCGGUAUACCUUUUGAUCGAACUCUUUACCAUUGUCGUCAGGACCCAGAUGAUGCUUGGCUGGUAUUGGCGUCGUGAACCCUUUGCAGUCUUGCAUACCGAACUUCUUAAGGCAAUCCUUGAGAUGCUUCUCUUGAGAUAUGAAGAUGCCGUUGCGUUGCUGUCGUAUUUGAAUACCGAGGAAAAACUUCAGCUCUCCAUCAUGGACAUCUGAUAUUGCUCUUGCAUCAUAUAUCCAAACUCUUCACUGUACUUCUGAUUGGUGCAGCCGAAGAUAAUGUCAUCCACAUAUAUUUGGCACACAAACAGUUAACCAUCAUAUGUCUUCGUGAAGAGAGUGGGGUCGAGGGAACCAGGUAUGAAGCCUUUGCUCUUCAGGAAGUAUUUGAGUGUGUCAUACCAGGCCCGAGGGGCUUGUUUGAGGCCAUAUAGUGCCUUGUUGAGCUUGUAUACCGUAUCAGGAUGUUUUAGAUCUUCAGAGCCAGGUGGUUGUGCAACAUACACUUCUUCUUCAAUCUUUCCAUUGAGAAAGGCGCUCUUCACAUCCAUUUGAUAAAGAAGUAUGUUGUGAUGAUUUGCAUAGGCCAGCAGUAUGCGUAUGGCUUCAAGUCUAGCCACAGGAGCAAAUGUUUCAUUGAAGUCAAUGCCUUCCACUUGAGUAUAUCCUUGAGCAACUAGACGAGCUUUGUUUCUGACAACUUGACCAUGCUCAUCUUGCUUGUUGCGGUAUAUCCAUUUUGUGCCUAUUAUGUUGUGCUUCCGAGGAUCAGGACGCUUAACCAGUUCCCAUACAUUAUUCAGCUCAAACCGUUGAAGCUCUUCUUGCAUAGCUUGAAUCCAUUCAGGUUCCAUGAAGGCUUCUUCCACUUUCUUGGGUUCUGUUAUUGAGACGAAUGCGAAGUGCCCACAGAAAUUUGCCAGCUGGGUUGCCCUUGAUCGACUGAGCGGACCAGGUGCAUUGAUGCUGUCAAUUAUUCUCUCAAUUUGCACUUCAUUGGCAACACGAGGAUGUACAGGGCGAAGACUUUGCUCUUGCUGAUCAUUGUCGUUGUUGGAGGGAUUGUCUUCAGGUUGAGCAUUGUCUUCAGGUUGAUCUGGUGCAGAGAUGAUGAGUUCCUCUUCAGGAUGAGCUUUAGAAGGUAUGAUUUCUCCAGUUCCCAUUAGCUUGAUUGAUUCACUGGAUGGAACUUCAUCUAGCACAUUUGGCAGGUGCUCUCUUUGUGAACCGUUAGUCUCAUCGAACCGCACAUCCACGGUUUCAACCACUUUAUAAUGAAAGAGGUUGAAGACUCUGUAGGAGUGCGAAUCCUUUCCAUAUCCAAGCAUAAAACCCUCAUGUGCUUUUGGGGCAAACUUUGAAGUGUGAUGUGGGUCCUUGAUCCAGCACCUUGCGCCAAAUACUCUGAAGUAACUGGCAUUUGGCUUCUUGCCAGUGAGGAGCUCAUACGAUGUCUUGUUCAGAAGCUUGUGAAGAUAAACACGAUUGAUUGUAUGGCAUGCAGUAUCAAUGGCUUCAGGCCAGAAUUUUCUUGGAGUCUUGUAUUCAUCUAGCAUUGUUCUGGCCAUCUCAAUGAGUGUUCUGUUCUUGCAUUCGACGACGCCAUUCUGCUGUGGCGUGUACGGGGCUGAGAAUUCAUGUGUGAUGCCCAAGGUAUCAAGAUAUGUAUCAAGGCCAGUGUUCUUGAAUUCAGUGCCAUUGUCACUUUUGAUGUGCUUUAUCUUGGCACCAUAGUUGUUCAUUGCUCGAUUGGCGAAGCGUUUGAAGACAUCCUGCACUUCAGUCUUGUAAAGGAUUAUAUGCACCCAAGUGUAUCUAGAAUAAUCAUCAAUAAUGAAGAAGCCAUAGAGACAAGCAGUAGUAGUAAGAGUUGAGUAAUGAGUGGGACCGAAAAGAUCCAUGUGAAGCAGCUCGAAGGGUCGAGUAGUAGUCAUGAUUGUCUUCGAGGGAUGCUUGGCCCUCGUCAUCUUUCCUGCUUCACAGGCACCGCAUAAGUGAUCUUUCUUGAACUUGACGCCCUCAAUGCCUAUGACAUGCUUCUUCUUUGCCAGGGUGUGGAGGUUCCUCAUGCCAGCAUGCCCAAGCCUCCGAUGCCAGAGCCAGCAUUCUGAAGCUUUUGCUAGAAGACAUACGGCAAGUUGUGGUCCUGCUGAGAAAUCUACCACGUACAGAUCGUCUUUCCGAUACCCUUCAAACACUAGAGACUUGUCAGAUUCCAUUAGAACAAGGCAACAAUAUUUUCCAAAUAUUACGAUCAUGUUCAAAUCGCAUAGCAUUGAGACAGACAUUAAGUUGAAGCCAAGGGAUUCAACAAGCAUGACUUUAUCCAUGUGUUGAUCCUUUGAGAUUGCAACUCUACCUAGACCCAAUACCUUACUUUUACCAGUGUCAGCAAAUGUGAUGUGGCUCUUGUCGGAAGGACGUAAGGUUGAGUCCAUCAGAAGGCUUCUUUUGCCAGUCAUGUGAUUUGUACACCCACUAUCAGUAAUCCAUUCUGUAUACGCUGGUGUCGUACCCUACAGUGCAGUUAGGGGGAUAGGCUUCACGAAGAGAGUUGUGAAGCAAAAACAUUUGACGAACCAGUGGGUUAUGAAAGCUUAGAUCCAGAUUAGUACUGAUAGGGAGAGUAGCAAGCGAUUCAGGAACGAAGUACAUAGUAAGACCAUUCGGCAUUUGAUCUUGCGCCCUACAAGAUGUUUAAGGUCCCCAGCGAUAGCGUCAGAAGAUUUUGGUUUUCUGCUGGAGACCUUUCCCUGCAAAAGAGAGUUAAGCCUUCUUAACAACCCACAUCUUCAAGGGUGGCUUAGAAGCGAUAAGUCUAAGUGCAGAGUCUGAAAACUUUGGCUUUGGGGCUCUAGCAAAAAGUCUUGCAGGUGGACAAUAAUACUCAUAAGAAUAAGCAGAAUAGUUUUUGGUCUUAUGAACAUGGCGGUUCGAUGAACCGCGCUCAUAUUCAUAGGCCUGAGUAUGGUUUCCCUGCAAAACAUUUGCAUUAGUCCGACUCAGGUGAGUCCUCUGUCUGUAUGAAGCCUUUGGGCCAUAUGAAGCCUGUGGUCUGGGGUUUGUCUUCUUCAUCUAUGGUGUCAUGAUGACAUUCACAGGAAGAUUUUCCAAACACCUUUUGGGCACCCAGACCUUCUUCAUAGGCGGUCCAUUCCUGCAGUUAGUACCAAUGUACCUGGCAAAAACUUCACCAUUCUGAUUCUUAAAUAGUUUAUAGUUUGCAUCAAAGGAUUCAUCAAUGACAAUGGGGUUAGCACAAGUGAAGCCAGAUAGACUGGAUGGAUUUGCUGAAGGUUCCUUUGCAGCAACCCAUGUGGUUUUGGGAUACUGCUCGGGUUUCUAGUAAGAGCCAUCAGCAUUCAUUUUCCUUAUGAACCCAACACCCUCUUUCCUCGGGUUUCGGUUCAGAAUCUGCCUUUUGAGGACAUCACAUAGUGUCUGAUGCCCUUUAAGACUUUUGUACAUCCCUGUUUCAAGCAAUGUCUUCAACCUAGCAUUCUCAUCAGCAAUCGCAGUAGUAUCCUCAGUAGAGGGGUUAGUUACCACAUCAACAGUUGAAGAUAUUGCAACAGUAGCAGUAGUAGAACAUUCAGCAACAGAAGCAGCAUUAUCACGCUCAAUGCAUUUAAGACAUGGUGGUUCAAAUCCUUCCUGAGCGGAACUGAUCUGUUCGGCGCGAAGUGACUCGUUUUCCUUUUGAAGAUCUUCAUGAGCCGCUCUCAAUUUCUCAAGAUCUUGCUUCCUUUGAAGAUAAUCAUAGGAAAGCUUUUCAUGAGUUGUUGAGAGCGUUUCAUGACAACUUUCAAGUUCCUCAUAUUUAACGUGAAGAUUUUUUAUGUCUUGAAUUAAGGAUUCAGAUCGAGUCAUUUCAACGCCCAACAAAUCAUCGCUUUUGUCUAACAGUUUUUGAAUAUGUUCCAUGGCUUUCUGUUGUUCAGUUGCAAUUUUAGCAAGUGUUUUGUAGCUGGGUCUUGAAUCACAAUCAGAGUCAUCAUCACUAGAUGUUUGAUAGUGAGUAGUGCGUGUGUUUACCUUGGCACCGUGUGCCAUGAAGCAGUAGGUAGGAGCAGAGUCGUCCUUGUCAUUUGCAUCGGCGUCGGUGGUGAAGUCAUUGUCUUCAGUGUUGAAGAUGGACUUGGCAACGUAUGCUGUAGCCAGACUUGCAACACCAGAAUCGGACUCCUCCUCAGACUCCACCUCCGCCUCCUCAGACGCGGACUCCUCCUCUGAAUCCAUUUCCUUGCCAACAAACGCACGUGCCUUGCCAGAUGAGCUCUUCUUGUGUGAUGAAGACUUUGAGGAAGACUUGGAAGAAGACUUUGAGUAUUUCUUCUUCUUCUUGUCGUCAGAGUCAUAUUCCUUGCUCUUCUUCUUCUUUCUAUUCUCAUUGUCCCACUGCGGACACUCAGAGAUGAAGUGGCUAGUUUUCUUGCACUUGUGACAUGUUUUCUUCUUGUAGUCAUGAGCAGAAGCUUCAUCAUUCCUUGAGCUUGAUCGUGAAGACUUUCUGAAGCCUUUCUUCUUGGGGAAUCUUUGGAACUUCUUUACAAGCAUAGCAAGUUCCUUUCCAAUGUCUUCAGGAUCGUCAGAACUGCUGUCAGAUUCUUCUUCAGAUGAGGAGACAACUUUUGCCUUCAGGGCACGAGUUCGCCCAUAGUUUGGACCGUAGAUAUCUCUUUUCUCAGAAAGCUGAAACUCAUGUGUGUUGAGCCUCUCAAGUAUGUCGGACGGAUCGAGUAUCUUGAAAUCAGGUCGUUCUUGAAUCAUCAGGGCUAGGGUGUCAAACAAACUGUCAAGUGAUCUCAGUAGUGUCUUGACGACUUCAUGCUUGGUGAUCUCAGUGGCGCCGAGCGCUUGAAGCUCAUUUGUGAUGUCAGUGAGUCGGUCAAAUGUGAGCUGGACAUUCUCAUUGUCAUUUCGCUUGAAGCGGUUAAAGAGGUUGCGAAGAACGCUGAUUCUCUGAUCUCUCUGGGUUGAGACGCCUUCGUUGACCUUGGAGAGCUAGUCCCAGACCAGCUUCGAUGUUUCCAAAGUGCUCACACGGCCAUACUGUCCUUUGGUCAGAUGACCACAGAUAAUGUUCUUGGCAGUAGAGUCCAGUUGAACGAACUUCUUGACAUCAGCAACAGUGACACCUUCUCCAGCCUUGGGAACGCCGUUCUUGACGACAUACCAUAGGUCGACGUCAAUGGCUUCAAGAUGCAUGCGCAUCUUAUUCUUCCAGUAGGGAUAUUCAGUUCCAUCGAAGACGGGGCACGCAACGGAGACUUUAAUUAUCCCUGCAGUCGACAUAGCUAAAACUCCAGGUGGUUAAACCGAAUCACACAGAACAAGGGAGCACCUUGCUCUCAUACCAAUUGAAAGUGCAUUAUAUCGACUAGAGGGGGUGACUAGGCGAUUUUUAUGAAAGUCUUAAAAACAUGGAAGUUUCGAAGACAAAUGAUAGAAAUAAACCUAUUACCAUGCAGCGGAAGUUAGACUACACUAGAUAAACCAUAGUCAUGUAUUCAAUGAAGUGAAAGGACAAUGACUAAUAGUAGCUAGGUAGUAAGGAUCAGGCAGGAAGAUAUUAAGAAGCCAAACGGAUCACACAGUCACUCAGUGAAGACAAAAGAUAGAGCAAACAUACAAUGACUUCACACAGAGUAACAGUAAGUAAAGAGAAGGGAAGGAUGAAACCAGUGACUCGUUGAAGACAAAUAUUUGUUGGACCAGUUCCAGUUGCUGUGACAACUGUACGUCUGGUUAGGGCGGCUAGGUAUUUAAACCAAAGGACACAUAGUCCCGGACACCCAGUCCUGAACACGCAGCUCAGGACACCCAGUCCUCACAGUAUUCCCCUUGAGCUAAGGUCACACAGACCUCGCCCAAUCACUCUGGUAAGUCUUCAAGGUAGACUCCCAAACCUUCACAGACUUCGUUCACCGGCAAUCCACAAUGUCUCUUGGAUGCUAUAACGCGACGCCUAACUGGCUGGAGGAUGCACAGUCCUCAAGUGUAAUAAGUCUUCAUAUCACUCAGACAAGAAGACUUAAGUGAUGCCUAAUUCUCUUUGGCUCUGGGUGGUUAGGGCUUUAUCCUCGCAAGGAAUUCUCUCUCAAAGGCUUCGAGGUGGGUUGCUCUCAAACGACAAAAGCCGUACUCUGAAUCCGAGCAGCCAACCGUUUAUGGUUGUAGGGGGUGGGCUAUUUAUAGCCACUAGGCAACCCGACAUGAUUUGUCCGAAAUGACCCUGGGUCACUAAGGAACUGACACGUGUUCCAACGGUCAGAUUUCAAACUCACACGGCAACUUUACUUGGGCUACAAGCAAAGCUGACUUGUCCGACUCUGGACAAGAUUUGCUCUCAUAGUCUUCACUCGAAGACAUAGGUUUUUGUUUAAGCAUCACUUCAGUCAUUCUGACUGGUUCUCUUGGACCCCACUUAACAGUGCGGUGGUUCCUAUGACUCAACACAGAAGAAAAAGAACUACGAAAGAUCUAAGUCUUCGAGCUCCAUAGGCUUCAUGCAGUGUCUUCUCUUGUCAUAGUCUUCAAUGUGAAUAUCUUCAUAUACCACCUUUGACAUCAAUGUCUUCAUACAUUUUUAGGGGUCAUCUCUGGUGGGAAAACCAAAUCAAUGAGGUACUUCUACCUGUGUUAUCCUGCAAUUCUCAUAAACACAUUAGUCCCUCAACUAGGUUUGUCGUCAAUACUCCAAAACCAACUAGGGGUGGCACUAGAUGCACUUACACAGUCGUCUCUAAAGCAUAACCCCAAAAUGAUAGCAGUAAAUUAGUAAGAGACAUCAUAGAUCGCACCAUAUCUAAUAAAGUGCGGUUACGAUGUUCGGACACACCAUUAUGUUGUGGUGUUCCGUGUGGCGUGAGUUGCGAAACUGUUCUGCAUUGUUUCAAAUGAAGACCAAACACGUAACUCAAAUAUUCACCUCCACGAUCAGAUUGUAGAAACUUUAUUUUCUUGUUACGAUAUUUUUCCUCUUCACUCUGAAUUUUUUUGAACUUUUCAAAUGUUUCAGACUUAUGUUUCAUCAAGUAGAUAUACCCAUAUCUGCUCAAAUCAUCUGUGAAGGUCAGAAAAUAACAAUACCCGCCGCGAGCCUCAACACUCAUCGGACCGCAUACAUCCGUAUGUAUUAUUUCCAACAAGUCUAUUGCUCACUCCAUUGUUCCGGAGAAUGGAGUCUUAGUCAUCUUGCCCAUGAGGCAUGGUUCGCAAGCAUCAAGUGAUUCAUAAUCAAGUGAUUCCAAAAGUCCAUCAGCAUGGAGUUUCUUCAUGCGCUUUACACCAAUAUGACCUAAACGGCAGUGCCACAAAUAAGUUGCACUAUCAUUAUUAACCUUGCAUCUUUUGGCUUCAAUAUUAUGAAUAUGUGUGUCACUAUUGUCGAGAUUCAAUAAAAAUAGAUCACUCAUCAAGGGUGCAUGACCAUAAAAGAUAUUACUCAUAUAAAUAGAACAACCAUUAUUCUCUGAUUUAAAUGAAUAUCCGUCUCGCAUCAAACAAGAUCCAGAUAUAAUGUUCAUGCUUAACGUUGGCACCAAAUAACAAUUAUUCAGGUCUAAAACUAAUCCCGAUGGUAGAUGUAGAGGUAGCAUGCUGACGGCGAUCACAUCGACUUUGGAACCAUUUCCCACGCGCAUCGUCACCUCGUCCUUAGCCAAUCUUCGCUUAAUCCGUAGCCCAUGUUUCGAGUUGCAAAUAUGAGCAACAGAACCAGUAUCAAAUACCUAGGCGCUACUACGAGCAUUAGUAAGGUACACAUUAAUAACAUGUAUAUCAAAUAUACCUUUCACUUUGCCAUCCUUCUUAUCCAUCAAAUACUUGGGGUAGUUCCGCUUCCAAUGACCAGUCCCUUUGUAGUAGAAGCAUUCAGUCUCCGGCUUAGGUCCAGACUUGGGCUUCUUCACUUGAGCAACAACUUGCUUGUCAUUCUUCUUGAAGUUCCCCUUCUUCCCUUUGCCCUUUUUCUUGAUACUGGUGGUCUUGUUGACCAUCAACACUUGAUGCUCCUUCUUGAUUUCUACCUCUACAGCCUUUAGCAUUGCGAAGAGCUCGGGAAUUGUCUUAUCCAUCCCUUGCAUAUUAUAGUUCAUCAUGAAGCUUUUGUAGCUUGGUGGCAGUGAUUGAAGAACUCUGUCAAUGACACUAUCAUCAGGAAGAUUAACUCCUAGUUGAGUCAAGUGGUUGUGGUACCUGGACAUUUUGAGUAUAUGUUCACUAACAAAACUAUUCUCCUCCAUCUUACAGCUGUAGAACUUAUUGGAGACUUCAUAUCUCUCAAUCCGGGCAUUUGCUUGAAAAUUUUACUUCGACUCCUGGAACAUCUCAUAUGCUCCAUGAUGUUCAAAACGUUGUUGAAGUCCCGAUUCUAAGCCGUAAAGCAUGGCACACUAAACUAUCGAGUAGUCAUCGGCUUUGCUCUACCAGACGUUCAUAAUGUCCGGUGUUGCUUGAUACGUCUCCGUCGUAUCUACUUUUCCAAACACUUUUGUCCUUGUUUUGGACUCUAACUUGCAUGAUUUGAAUGGAACUAACCCGGACUGACGCUGUUUUCAGCAGAAUUACCAUGGUGUUAUUUAUGUGUAGAAAUAAAAGUUCUCGGAAUGACCUGAAACUUCAGGGAACGUCUUUUUGGAAAUAAUAAAAAAUCCUUGCAAAAGAUGAAGACCAGGGGGCCCACACCCUAGCCACGAGGGUGGGGGCGCGCCUGCCCCCCUAGGCGCGACCCCUACCUUGUGGGCCCCCUGGAGCUCCUCCGACCUCAACUCCAACUCUAUAUAUUUGCUUUCAGGGAGAAAAAAAUUAGAGAGAAGGAUUCAUCGCGUUUUACAAUACAGAGCCGCCGCCAAGCCCUAAAACCUCUCAGGAGGGCUGAUCUGGAGUCCGUUCGGGGCUCCGGAGAGGGGAAUCCGUCGCCAUCGUCAUCAUCAACCUUCCUCCAUCACCAAUUUCAUGAUGCUCACCGCCGUGCGUGAGUAAUUCCAUCAUAGGCUUGCUGGACGGUGAUGGGUUGGAUGAUAUUUAUCAUGUAAUCGAGUUAGUUUUGUUAGGGUUUGAUCCCUAGUAUCCACUAUGUUGUGAGAUUGAUGUUGCUAUGACUUUGCUAUGCUUAAUGCUUGUCACUAGGGCCCGAGUGCCAUGAUUUCAGAUCUGAACCUAUUAUGUUUUCAUCAAUAUAUGAGUGUUCUUGAUCCUAUCUUGCAAGUCUAUAGUCACCUACUAUGUGUUAUGAUCUGGCAACCCCGAGGUGACAAUAAUAGGGACCACUCCCGGUGAUGACCGUAGUUUGAGGAGUUCAUGUAUUCAUUAUGUGUUAAUGCUUUGGUCUGGUACUCUAUUAAAAGGAGGCCUUAAUAUCCCUUAGUUUCCGCUAGGACCCCGCUGCCACGGGAGGGUAGGACAAAAGAUGUCAUGCAAGUUCUUUUCCAUAAGCACGUAUGACUAUAUUCGAAAUACAUGCCUACAUUACAUUGAUGAAUUGGAGCUAGUUUUGUGUCACCCUAGGUUAUGACUGUUACAUGAUGAACCGCAUCCGGCGUAAUUCUCUAUCACCGAUCCAUUGCCUACGAGCUUUCCAUAUAUUGUUCUUCACUUAUUUACUUUUCCGUUGCUAUUGCUAUCAUCACUACAAAAUACCAAAAACAUUAAUUUUGCUAUCGUUACCUUUUGCUACCGUUACCACUACUAUCAUAUUACGUUGCUACUAAACACUUUACUACAGAUAUUAAGUUUCUAGGUGUGGUUGAAUUGACAACUCAACUUUCAACUGCUAAUACUUGAUAAUAUUCUUUGGCUCCCCUUGUGUCGAAUCAAUAAAUUUGGGUUGAAUACUCUACCCUCGAAAACUGUUGCGAUCCCCUAUACUUGUGGGUUAUCAAGACUAUUUUCUGGCGUCGUUGCCGGGGAGCAUAGCUCUAUUCUUUGAGUCACUUGGGAUUUAUAUCUGUUUAUCAUUAUGAAGAACUUGAGAGAUCCAAAAACCAAGAUUUAUCUCUCAACUACGAGGGGAGGUAAGGAACUGCCAUCUAGCUCUGCACUUGAUUCACCUUCUAUUUUGAGUAAGCUUGCGACACCUAAACCUGCUUCUGCUAUUCAUUCUGAUAUGUCGCAUGUUAUUAAUGAUGCCACUUGUGCUAUGCAUGAUACUUAUGAUGAAACUACUUCUAUGCUUGAUACUACUGUGCCACUUGGUGAAUUUCUUGAUGAACAACUUGCUAGGGUUAGAGAGAAUGAAAUUAUUGAAACUGAUAAUAUAUAUAUAUAUAUUUGAAUAUAUACUGUAGGGUAAAACCCCCACAGCCCUUUAUUGCAGUCUCAAAAAACAAACUGUACAGUGAAAGAAAGAGAUGACAAGCCUAAACGAAAAGUUAAGAAGAACUUACAAUUACAUGAGGGAGUUAACUCAAUCUACAAGCCUAGACUUAGAGCUAUCCUUAAACCUAUGUGACAGGAGAAGAAUGUCAUGUACAAAACUGCCCCUCCAGGCAACAAAAGUAGCCCGUAGUCCCCUGAAAGUUCUUCCAUUUCUCAGAAUCCAUAUAUUCCAAGCAGCUGUGAGCAUAACUUCAAAGAAGAAAGGAUACCCAAAUCGCUGCCUUGCUUGAGAUAUACAUUGCUGAAUAGAAGAACCAUGUGACCAAUCGAUCUGCAGGUAUUUCCAAACCCUGGCACUGAAAUUACAACCAAAGAAUAGGUGAGCCCUGUCCUCCCAAACAAAGGCAUUACAGAUGACACAUAGAUGAUCAGCCGUAGGGGACCUCCGGUGGCUGCGGACCAGCACGUCCUUUGUGUUGAGUCUGUCAAAGAAUAGGAGCCAGCCAAAAACCUUAAUUUUCAUAGUACAUAUGCUCUGCCAAAGCCACCUGCAGGGUUUAAUAGUUGGGAGGUGUGUAUGCAUGAUGUCAUAGAAGCUCUUUGCAGAAAACUGUCCAGAUUUACCAGGCCAAAUCCAAACAUCAGGCAAUGUUGGAUCUCUCUGGAGAUUGAACAUCCUUCCUUCCAAGGAUUCCAAUUCUGCUGCUGCCUGCUGAGAAAUUGGCAGAUGAAACAUUGAGAACAAAUCCUGGGUUUGCAAAAACUCCCUGACAGAAACCUUAUCAUCCAAAACAAAAGAGAAAAGCCUUGGUAAUCUGAGGCUUAGUGGCCUUGAAGAGCCACCUACAUGGCAAGCAUCCAGCCAAAAGAGAGCAGAAUCACCCAUAUUAACUGGCACUGAAGCAAUUGACCUAUAAGUGUCAGCAAGCUUGAGAAUGUCCUUCCACCAAAAGGAGCCAGUUAGGACUGUUGCAUGGGGCACCACUCCAUCAUAAUAACUAUCCCAAAUCAACUGGACCCAAGGAAUCUGCUGUUUGUUGUAGAACUUAUGCAUUUGUUUGAGAAGCAGACCUUGAUUUUGAACAUUGAGGUUGAGAAUGCCAAGUCCUCCCUUAUCCUUUGGUCUGCAAACUAAAUCACAGGCAGCUAGGGAUUGCUUAGGCACAUCAGAAUUUCCUCUCCACAAACACUGCCUGAAAAUCCUAUCCAACUGUUUGAUAAUACCAGGUGGGAUAUGCAAGCUGCAGAGGAAGUAUAUGGGCAUUGAAGUAAGCACAGAUGUGAGAAAUUGUAACCUGGAUCCUUGGUUGAGCAUGGCAGAGCUAACAGACAGUCUUCUUUCAAGACUAUCCACUAAAGGCAUGAAAUCAAUGAUUCUAGGUCUUGUUGUACCAAGAGGCAAACCCAGAUAUGUGAAAGGUAACUGCUCCGGUUUACAUCCCAGGAUGGAAGACAACCUCUGUGCCUCUGUGGGAUCAACAUUUAGUGGCACCAUUGAAGACUUUCCAAAAUUUACCUUUAGGCCAGUAGACUGUUGGAAAAUAUGGAGCAUGUUCUUGAGAGCCACCAACUGGUCCUGUACUGCAGAAAGGAUAAUUAUUGUGUCAUCUGCAUACUGAAUGAUAGGAAAUUCAGGGUCCUAAGAUGGGAUUGGAAGUGUUAGAACUCCCUUAGCCAGCAUGUUAUUGACCAUUGUUUGAAGAAGAUCGGCAGCUAUGACAAAUAAAAGAGGGGAUAGGGGAUCCCCCUGCCUGACCCCACAUUUAUAUUUGAACUGUUUGCCAGGCACCCCAUUAAGCAAAACAGAUGAUGAUCCUGAGGAGAGAAUCUCUUUAAUCCAAGAAAUCCAUUUGGCAUCAAAACCUUUGUGCUGUAGAACUUGCAAGAUGAAGUCAUGCUCCACAGUGUCAAAAGCUUUGGCAAAAUCCAAUUUCAAAAUGAUGGUUGGCCUUUUGGAUUGAUUGCAUUGAUGUAUAUAUUCAAAAGCCCAAGCCAGGCAGUCCUGAAUGGCUCUGCUCUUCAAAAACCCAUAUUGAUUCUUAUGGAUGCAUUGCAGAAUGACCUUUUGAAGCCUAUUUCCCAAAAGCUUAGUAAGGAACUUGAGGCAUGUGUUAGUAAGAGAGAUUGGUCUAAAAUCCUCAAGUCCUUCAGGAGACAACAUCUUUGGAAUUAAGGUGAUAAGGGAUCCAUUAAUAUUUUCCAAAGAUAGCCUCCCAUCAUAAAACCCCUGAAUGAGAGCCAAGAAAUCCUUCUCAAUGAUGGGCCAACACUUCUUAACAAAAAGACCAUUAAAACCGUGAAAGUGAUGAUGAAGAUUCUCCCCCUAAUAAAUAUGAAUUGCCUGUUGUGCCUGAGGGCUAUGUUAUGGAUGAAGAAAUUGCUAAAGCUAUUUUUGUUUGCAAAGAUAGAUAUGAUCUUAAGAAGUUAUUAGCUAAAUGGAAGCAGCAAUCUCUUAAUGCUAGAAUGAAACCUGACCCUGCUUUUGCUACUUCACCUAUCUGUGUUACUGAUAAGGAUUAUGAAUUCUCUGUUGAUCCUGAUAUAAUUACUUUGGUUGAAUCUGAUCCUUUUCAUGGCUAUGAGUCUAAAACUGUUGUGGCACAUCUUACUAAAUUAAAUGAUAUAGCCACCCUAUUCACUAAUGAUGAGAGAACUCGUUACUUUUAUAUCCUUAAAAUAUUCCUGUUCUCAUUAAAGGGUGAUGCUAAGAUAUGGUUUAAUUCUCUUGAUCCUGGUUGUGUGCGUAGUCCCCAGGAUAUGAUUUAUUACUUCUCUGCUAAAUAUUUCACUGCUCAUAAGAAACAAGCUGCUUUGAGGGAUAUAUAUAAUUUUGUGCAAAUUGAAGAAGAGAGUCUCCCACAAGCUUGGGGGAGGCUUCUCCAAUUACUUAAUGCUUUGCCUGAUCAUCCUCUUAAGAAAAAUGAAAUAUUGGAUAUAUUUUAUAAUGGACUAAGUGAUGCUUCCAGAGAUUACCUGGAUAGUUGUGUUGGUUCUGUUUUCAAGGAAAGAACACCGGAUGAAGCUGAAAUUCUAUUGAAUAAUAUGUUGACAAAAGAAAAUAAUUGGACACUUCCUGAGCCAGCUCCUGAGCCUAUUCCUAAACCAACUCCGAAGAAGAGGGGUAUUCUAUUUCUCAGUCCUGAAGAUAUGCAAGAGGCAAAGAAAUCCAUGAAAGAAAAGGGUAUUAAAGCUGAAGAUGUUAAGAAUUUACCUCCUAUUGAAGAAAUACACGGUCUUAAUUUACCGCCUGUUGAAGAAACAUAUGAUCUUAAUCCAUUACCUAUUGAAGAAAUACAUGGUCUUGAUAACCCGACACAAGUAGUAAAGGUAAACUCUCUCUAUAGAUAUGAUAAAAUUGAAAUCCCUCUUACUAAGUUUGCUAGCCAAUGCUUAGAUGAGUUUGAUAAUUUUAUGGUGAAGCAAGAAGAUUUUAAUUCUUAUUUUGGUAGACAAUUGAAAUACAAUUCAAAUAUGCUUGAACACUUGGGUGAUUAUAUGGCUAAUGUUAAAGGUGAAAUUAAACUUAUUAGCAAACAUGCUUCUAUGGUUACCACUCAAGUAGAACAAGUACUUAAAGCUCAAAAUGAUUUGCUCAAUGAACUGAAUAGUAAGAAUAAUGAUAAUGCUGUUAGAGUUAUGACUAGAGGUGGUAAAAUGACUCAAGAACCUUUGUAUCCUGAAGGCCAUCAUAAGAGAAUUGAGCAAGAUUCUCGGAGAAAUAAUAUAGAUGCACCUAGUUCUUCUAAAAGGAAGAAAAAGAAAAAUGAUAGGACUUUGCAUGCUUCUAGUGAACCUAUUGAUGAAACACCUGAGAAUCCAAAUGAUAUUUCUAUUUCUGAUGCUGAAACACAAUCUGGUAAUGAACCUGAAACUAGUGAUAAUAUUAAUGAUAAUGUUCAUGUUGAUGCUCAACCUAGCAAUGAUAAUGAUAUAGAAAUUGAACCUGUUGUUGAUCUUGAUAACCCACAAUCAAAGAAUCAACGUUAUGAUAAGAGAGACUUUGUUGCUAGGAAACAUGGUAAGGAAAGAGAGCCUUGGGUUCAGAAACCCAUGCCUUUUCCUCCCAAACCAUCCAAGAAAAAGGAUGAUGAGGAUUUUGAGCACUUUGCUGAAAUGAUUAGACCUACCUUUUUGCGUAUGCGAUUAACUGAUAUGCUUAAAAUGAAUCCUUAUGCUAAGUACAUGAAAGAAAUUGUUACUAAUAAAAGAAAGAUACCGGAAGCUGAAAUUUCCACCAUGCUUGCUAAUUAUACUUUUAAAGGUGGAAUACCUAAGAAACUAGGAGAUCCCGGAGUACCAACUAUACCAUGCUCCAUUAAAAGAAAUUAUGUUAAAAUUGCUUUAUGUGAUCUUGGAGUCGGUGUUAGUGUUAUGCCUCUCUCUUUAUAUCAUAGACUUGAUUUGAAUAAGUUGACACCUACUAAAAUAUCUUUGCAAAUGGCUGAUAAAUCAACUGCUAUACCUAUCGGUAUUUGUGAGGAUGUGCCUGCUGUGGUUGCAAACGUUACUAUUUUAAUGGACUUUGUUAUUCUUGAUAUUCCCGAGGACGAUAGUAUGUCUAUUAUUCUUGGAAGACCCUUUUUGAAUACUGCAGGGGCUGUUAUUGAUUGCAACAAAGGCAAUGUCACUUUUCAUGUUAAUGGUAAUGAGCAUACGGUACACUUUCCGAGGAAACAACCUCAAGUCCACAGUAUCAAUUCUAUUGGAAAAAUUCAAUCGAUUAUUUUUGAAGGUUUUGAAUUUCCUCUUCCUACUGUCAAAAGAAAUAUGAUAUUCUUAUUAUUGGGGAUGUGCAUAUCCCCGUUGAGGUAACAUAGUGUUAUUCGAAAUUCCUCCGGUUCCAUGUUAUUCGGAAUGAGUUUGCUAACAAGACUUGAUCAACCAUGUUAACGGAUUCCUUUUGAUGAGCAUGAGAUGGAUGAAACUAGAAGGCACAACUCUCCGUACCCUCCUUUUACUUUCUGUUAUUUAUAUUAAAUAAAAUUAAAAGAAGUAUUUUCCGUCUGUUAUCUGAUUUAUCCGUGCAAUAUAAAAUACCCCGAAAAUAAAAGUUCUCCAAAUGCCUUGAAAUUUAAAUAUGAUUUUUUCUGGAAUAUUUGAGAAUAUUUGGCACUAAGAACACAACACAGGGGGCAUCCACCUGGCCACGAGAGUGGAGGGCGCGCCCUACCCCCCCUGUGCGUGCCCCUUGCCUCGUGGGCCCACGGUGGCCCUCCUCCACUUAUUCCUGCACCCACACACUCCUUCCUCCCAUAAACACGAUUAUCCAGUUCGAACCCAAGUCCAAGCUCAUUUUGCUGCUAUUUUCGAUCUCCUUGCUCAAAGCACCUCUCACAAAACUGCUUGGGGGGAUUGUUCCUUGGUAUGCGACUCCUCCAUUGGUCCAAUUAGUUUUUGUUCUAGUGCUUUAUUCAUUGCAAAUUUAUGUUGUCUAGGUGCCCAUGUUCCUGAGCUUGCAUGUCAAAUUUAUGUGGUUCCAACUAGUUUUGAUGCAUGAUAUAGGCUCUAGGCACUUGUAGGAGUUGUUGCUAUCAAUUUUGUUGAGCUUGGCUCACUUUUAUUUGAAGUUACUAAAAAUUUCAGAAUUUUUCAGAAAAUAAUGAAGAGAUUUUUGAGGGGCUCAUCAAGCCGAAGCUCGAAGGAAAAGCAAAAUGAAAAAGCAGAGAGGCCCGAAUAUAAUCUGCCUCGCACCGCAGAGGUUCGGCCGUGUGAAUGGCCUUCCAAUGAUUUCUUGAGAGCAGUCGGGAUUUAUGAUGAUUUUUAUGAAUUGGCUGAGAAUGUAGGCCUCACCGCCUUCCUCCAUGACCAACGCGAACAAUAUCUCUUACUCACCAAUAUCUUUGUGCAAAACUUUCAUUUCCAUGCUAGGAGCUCACCACCUACGGUGGAGUUUUAUUUGUAUGAUGAGCACAAGGAGAUGUCACUUUACGAUUUCUGUCGGGUUUGAUUGAUCCCUUUCGAGGGCACAAUAGAGGAACCACACCGCGGUGAUGUGGAUGGGUUUAUAGAUACCAUCACUGUAGGGGAAACGAGGAAGGUUUCCGAUGCACGAAUCACUAGCAUACAUUUUCCUGUUUUACGCUACUUUGCAAUAUUUGCUAGUCGUUGCUUAAUUGGUCGCGAAAACUGUGGAAACCUUAGUGUUCCUGAUAUUAUUAUUUUGUUCCACGGUUUAUUCUGUGAUAAAUCUGUUAGUAUGGGCGGUAUUAUUGCUAAACGGUUAAGUCUCAACUGUACAAAGGGCCCCAUCUUUGGAGGCAUCUAUGCUUCACGCCUAACUGCGCAUUUUAACAUACCUAUUAAGCAUUAUGAGAAGGAAGAAAAAUUGCUGCCCCUGUUUAUUUAGAUUAUAAGAGUAUGGUGGCACACGAUUUUAUUGUUAAGAAUAGGAAAGGGGAGCUUAAAUACAAAUUGUUCUUUGAUAAACAUCAUCCUGAGACUAUUACCCUGCCUACUCCUUCCUUGUUUGAUUUAUCUCCAGGCAAGUACCUUGUUCCGUUAGAGGCUAUUCACGCCUACCGGAACAUUGCAUCAGCCACAGAGCCAGAGUCGGAACCACUAGUUGAUCCUCCACGACAGUCUAAUUACCAUUGGGAUCCAGAAAUGAUAGCCACCAGUGGAAAUCAGAGUCUUCUUCGCAGUACGACCCCAACUAUUACUAUGGAUAUCCGCCAGGCCAGCCGUGGCCAUAGACCAACUUAGGUCAAAAGCCUAAACUUGGGGGAGUACGUAUUUCCCGCCGACAUUACAUUCAUGUUCGCACACUCAUUGCUAGAUGUCGGUGCUCAUACUUUUUCAUUGUAUCAUCCAUGCUAGUUCAUUUCCUUUUUAAGCUUUCUUCUUGUGUGUUUAAUAAACCUUAAGAAAAACCAAAAAAACUAGUUGUAGCUUUUAGCUAGUUUUAAUUUCCAUGCUUGUAGUAGUAAUUAAAAAGAAAACCCAAAAAAAGAUUUCUUGUUCUUGUUUUGCUCGUUGGGAGCUUUCCCGUGUAAAUAGUUUUAUUUCUUUUCUUUGGGGGUCGAUAGGAGAAUACCAUGAUUAAAUUGUUGAAGUGGCUCUUAUAUAUAUUUUUUAUCUGACAAAAGAGCCCAUAUUGCCUUGUCUUCUCCAGUUUAUUGAAUGCUUGCAGAUUCCAGCUUAGUCCAAUGCACGCGCACUAUUAUUAUUAUCCACAUCGUUCGGUCGUGCAAGUGAAAGGCAAUUAUGACAAUAUAUGAUGGACUGACUGAGAUGAGAAAAGCUGGUAUAAACUCAACCUCUCUUGUUUUUGUAAAUAUGAUUAGUUCAUCGUUCCUGAUUCAGCCUAUUAUGAAUAAACAUGUUUGCAAUGACAACUAGAGAUCAUAGUUUCUUGUGCCAUGCUUGAUUAGCUAGGAGCUUAUAAUGGUUUACCUUGCGUGCCAACAUGCUAUUAAAAUGGUUGUGAUGUGGUAUGAUAGGGUGGUAUCCUCCUCUGAAUGAUUUGAGUGGCUUGACUUGGCACAUGCUCACGCAUGUAGUUGAAAUAAAAUCAACAUAUCCUCUACGAUAUUUAUGUUCAUGGGGAAUUAUAUCCUACUCAUGCUUGCAUUUGGUGUUGAUUAAUUUUAAUGCAUGUUUAUGAGUGUUGUCGCUCUCUAGCUGGUUGCUUCCCAGUCUUUUGCUAGCCUUCACCUGUACUAAGCGGGAAUACUGCUUGUGCAUCCAAUCCCAUAAACCCCAAAGUUAUUCCAUAUGAGUCCACCAUACCUACCUAUUUACGGUAUCUACCUGCCGUUCCAAGUAAAUUUGUAUGUGCCAAACUCUAAACCUUCAAAUAAAUAUCAUGUUUUGUAUGCUCGAAUAGCUCAUGUAUCAACUAGGGCUGUCUGUAUCUUCCAUGUUAGGCGGGUUAUUCUCAAGAGGAGUGGACUCCGCUCCUCACUCACGAGAAAAUGGCUGGUCACCGGGAUGCCCAGUCCCAUGCUUUAUGCAAAUCAAAUCAAAAUAAUUGCAAACAAAACUCUCCCUAGGACUCUUGUUAGUUGGAGGCACUCGUUGUUUUGAGCAAGCCAUGGAUUGAUGCUUGUUAGUGGAAGGGGAGUAUAAACUUUACCAUUCUGUUUGGGAACCGCCUAUAAUGUGUGUAGCAUAGAAUAUAUCGCCCUCUCUUGGUUGUUAUGUUGACAAUGAAAGUAUACUGCUCAAAAUAUUAUUCACCUCUAUUUCAAAACCGAGCUCUGGCACCUCUACAAAUCCCUGCUUCCCUCUGCGAAGGGCCUAUCUAUUUACUUUUAUGUUGACUCAUCAUCCUCUUAUUAAAAAUCACAAGUUGGAGAGCACCGCUGUCAUUUGCAUUCAUUACUGUUAGUUUACAUUGAGUAUGACUGGACUGGAUCUCUUUUACCAUGAAUUACAAUGUCUAGUCAGUCCUUGAUCUUUAAAGGUGCUCUGCAUUUAUGUUUUGCGGUCUCAGAAAGGGCUAGCGAGAUACCAUCUUGUUAUAUCAUAUCAUGAUUGUUUUGAGAAAGUGUUGUCAUCUGAGAUUUAUUAUAUUGCUCGCUAGUUGAUUAUGCCAUUGAUAUGAGUAAACAUGAGACCUAAAUGUUAUUGUGAAUAUGGUUAGUUCAUAAUCUUUGCUGAAAACUUGAAUGCUGGCUCUACAUAUUUACAACAACAAGAGCAAACAGAGUUUGUAAAAGUUUUUCUUUAUCACUUUCAGCUUAUCAACUGAACUGCUUGAGGACAAGCAAAGGUUUAAGCUUUGGGCAGUUGAUACGUCUUCGUCGUAUCUACUUUUCCAAACACUUUUGCCCUUGUUUUGGACUCUAACUUGCAUGAUUUGAAUGGAACUAGCCCGGACUUACGCUGUUUUCAGCAGAAUUGCCAUGGUGUUAUUUUUGUGCAGAUAUAAAAGUUCUCGGAAUGACCCGAAAAUCAACGGAGAAUUAUUUUGGAAUACAUAAAUAAUACUGGAAGGAAGAUCCACGUCAGGGGGGCCUCCACCUGUCCACGAGGGUGGGGGCGCGCCCUACCCCCCUGGUGCUACCUCUUGAGCACUGCGUUGGUUUUCCCUUGAAGAGGAAAGGGUGAUGCAGUAAAGUAGCGUAAGUAUUCCCCUCAGUUUUUGAGAACCAAGGUAUCAAUCCAGUAGGAGAUCACGCUCGAGUCCCACGCACCUACACAACCAAAUAAGAACCUCGCAACCAACGCGAUAAAGGGGUUGUCAAUCCCUUCACGGUCACUUACGAGAGUGAGAUCUGAUAGAUAUGGUAAGAUAAUAUUUUGGUAUUUUUAUGAUAAAGAGAAAUAAAGAUGCAAAGAAAAAUAAACGGCAAUAGAAAUAACUAAGUAUCACCUGGGCGCACCCCCUGCCUCGUGGGCCCCCUGACGCUCCACCAACCUCAACCCUGACUUCAUAUAUUCACUUUCGGGGAGAAAAAACCAGAGAGAAAGAUUCAUCACAUUUUACGAUACGGAGCCGCCGCCAAGCCCUAAACUCUCUCGGGAGGGCUGAUCUGGAGUCCGUUCGGGGCUCCGAAGAGGGGAAUCCAUCGCCAUCAUCAUCAUCAACCUUCCUCCAUCACCAAUUUCAUGAUGCUCACCGUCGUGCGUGCAUAAUUCCAUCGUAGGCUUGCUGGACGGUGAUGGGUUGGAUGAGAUUUAUCAUGUAAUCGAGUUAGUUUUGUUAGGGUUUGAUCCCUAGUAUCCACUAUGUUCUGAGAUUGAUGUUGCUAUGACUUUGCUAUGCUUAAUGCUUGUCACUAGGGCCCGAGUGCCAUGAUUUCAGAUCUGAACCUAUUAUGUUAUCAUCAAUAUAUGAGCGUUCUUGAUCCUAUCUUGCAAGUCUAUAGUCACCUACUAUGUGUUAUGAUCCGGCAACCCCGAAGUGACAAUAAUCGGGACCACUCCUGGUGAUGACCGUAGUUUGAGGAGUUCAUGUAUUCACUAUGUGUUAAUGCUUUGGUCCGGUACUCUAUUAAAAGGAGGCCUUAAUAUCCCUUAGUUUCUGCUAGGACCCCGCUUCCACGGGAGGGUAGGACAAAAGAUGUCAUGCAAGUUCUUUUCCAUAAGCACGUAUGACUAUAUUCGGAAUACAUGCCUACAUUACAUUAAUGAAUUGGAGCUAGUUCUAUGUCACCCUAGGUUAUGAUUGUUACAUGAUGAACCGCAUCCGACAUAAUUCUCUAUCACUGAUCCAUUGCCUACGAGCUUUCCAUAUAUUGUUCUUCGCUUAUUUACUUUUCCAUUGCUAUUGCUAUCAUCACUACAAAAUACCAAAAACAUUACUUUUGCUAUCGUUACCUUUUGCUGCCGUUACCACUACUAUCAUAUUACUUUGCUACUAAACACUUUGCUGCAGAUAUUAAGUUUCCAGGUGUGGUUGAAUUGACAAGUCAGCUGCUAAUAGUUGAGAAUAUUCUUUGGCUCCCCUUGUGUUGAAUCAAUAAAUUUGGGUUGAAUACUCUACCCUUGAAAACUGUUGCGAUCCCCUAUACUUGUGGGUUAUCAUUGCUCCUGCAGCGGGUCUUGCACAUAGCGGUGCUUCCAGGACGUAAUUCUUCUGUGUAGCAAUGAGGAUAAUCCUCAAGUUACGGACCUAGUCCAUGUAGUUGCUACCAUCAUCUUUCAACUUAGGUUUCUCUACGAACGCAUUAAAAUUCAAAGGGACAUUAGCACGGGCCAUUGAUCUACAACAACAUAGACAUGCAAACUACUAUCAGGUGCUAAGUUCAUGAUAAAUUAAAGUUCAAUUAAUCAUAUUACUUAAGAACUCCCACUUAGAUAGACAUCCCUCUAGUCAUCUAAAUGAUCACGUGAUCCAUAUCAACUAAACCAUGUCCGAUCAUCUCGUGAGAUGGAGUAGUUUCAAUGGUGAACAUCACUAUGUUGAUCAUAUCUACUAUAUGAUUCACGCUCGACCUUUCGGUCUCAGUGUUCCGAGGCCAUAUCUGCAUAUGCUAGGCUCGUCAAGUUUAACCCGAGUAUUCUGCGUGUGCAAAACUGGCUUGCACCCGUUGUAUGUGAACGUAGAGCUUAUCACACCCGGUUAUCACGUGGUGUCUCGGCACGACGAACUAUAGCAAUGGUGCAUACUCAGAGAGAACACUUGUACCUUGAAAUUUAGUGAGAGAUCAUCUUAUAAUGCUACCGCCGUACUAAGCAAAAUAAGAUGCAUAAAGGAUAAACAUCACAUGCAAUCAAAAUAAGUGAUAUGAUAUGGCCAUCAUCAUCUUGUGCCUUUGAUCUCCAUCUCCAAAGAACCGUUAUGAUCACCAUCAUCACCGGCUUGACACCUUGAUCUCCAUCGUAGCAUCGUUGUCAUCUCGCCAACUAUUGCUUCUACGACUAUCGCUACCACUUAGUGAUAACGUAAAGCAAUUACAUGGCGAUUGCAUUUCAUACAAUAAAGCGACAACCAUAAGGCUCCUGCCAGUUGCCGAUAACUUUUACAAAACAUGAUCAUCUCAUACAACAACUUAUAUAUCAUCACGCAAAAACAAGUUAGACGUCCUCUACUUUGUUGUUGCAAGUUUUACGUGGCUGCUACAGGCUUCUAGCAAGAACCGUUCUUAUCUACGCAUCAAAACCACAAUGAUUUUUCAUCAAGUGUGUUGUUUUAACCUUCAACAAGGACCGGGCGUAGUCAAACUCGAUUCAACUAAAGUUGGAGAAACAGACACCCAGUAGCCACCUGUGUGUGAAGCACCUCGAUGGAACCAGUCUCAUGAACGCGGUCAUGUAAUGUCGGCCUGAGCUGCUUCAUCCAACAAUACCGCCAAAUCAAAGUAAGACGUUGCUGGUAAGAAGUAUGACUAUUAUCGUCCACAACUCAUUGUGUUCUACUCGUGCAUAUAACAUCUACGCAUAGACCUGGCUCGGAUGUCAUUGUUGGGGAACGUAGUAUUUCAAAAAAAAUCAUACGAUCACGCAAGAUAUAUCUAGGAGAAGCAUAGCAAUGAGCGGGGAGAGUGUGUUCACGUACCCUCGUAGACCGAAAGCGGAAGCGUUUAGUAACACGGUUGAUGUAGUCGAACGUCUUUGCGAUCCAAUCGAUCCAAACACCAAACGUACGACACCUCCGCGUUCAGCACACGUUCAGCUUGAUGACAUCCCUCGAGCUCUUGAUCCAGUUGAGGCCGAGGGAUAGUUCCGUCAGCACGAUGGCGUGGCGACGGUGAUGAUGAAGUUACCGGCGCAGGGCUUCGCCUAAGAACUACGACGAUAUGACCGAGGUGUGUAACUGUGGAGGGGGGCAACGCCCACGGCUAAGAGAAACUUGUGUCUUUGGGGUGCCCCCCUCCCACGUAUAUAAAUGGGGGGAGGAGGCCGGCCCAAAGGGGGGCGCGCCACAUGUUGGGGGUCCUACUAGGACUCCCUAGUCCUAGUAGGAUUCCCCUCUCCUUUCCUUUUACGGAAGGGGGAAAGGGGGGAAGGAGAGGAGGGGAAGAGGGAAAGGGGGCACGCCCCCUCCCCUUCCUAUUCGGACUCCACUUGGGGGGACGCGCACGCCUCCCCCUUGUGGGUUGUACCCUCUUCUCUCCCAUGGCCCAUAAGGCCCAUGAUUUCCCCCGGGGGGUUCCGGUAACCUCCCGGUACUCCAGAAAAAUGCUCGAAUCACUCGGAAUCAUUCUGAUGUUUGAAUGCAACCUUCCAAUAUAUGAAUCUUUACCUCUCGACCAUUUCUGUGAUCUCAUCCGGGACUCCGGACAAACUUCAGUCAUCAAAUCACAUAACUCAUAAUACAAAUUGGCACGAACGUUAAGCAUGCGGACCCUAUGGGUUUGAGAACUAUGUAGACAUGACUGAGACACAUCUCCGGUCAUUAACCAAUAGCGGAACCUGGAUGCUCAUAUUGGCUCCUACAUAUUCUACGAAGAUCUUUAUCGGUCAAACCGCAUAACAACAUACGUAGUUCCCUUUGUCAUAUGUAUGUUAUUUGCCCGAGAUCCGAUCGUCGGUAUCCCCAUACCUAGUUCAAUCUCGUUACCGUCAAGUAUCUUUACUUGUUCCGUAAUGCAUCAUCAUGUAACUAACUCAUUAGUCACAUUGCUUGCAAGGCUUAUAGUGAUGUGCAUUACCGAGAGGGCUUAGAGAUACCUCUCUGAUACACGAAGUGGCAAAUCCUAAUCUCGAUCUAUGCCAACUCAACAAACACCAUCAGAGACACCUGUAGAGCAUCUUUAUAAUCACCCAGUUACAUUGUGACGUUUGAUAGCACACUAAGUGUUCCUCCGGUAUUCGGGAGUUGCAUAAUCUCAUAGUCAUAGGAACAUGUAUAAGUCAUAAAGAAAGCAAUAGCAAUAAAAUUAAACGAUCAUUAUGCUAAGAUAACGGAUGGGUCUUGUCCAUCACAUCAUUCUCUAAUGAUGUGAUCCCGUUCAUCAAAUGACAACACAUGUCUAUGGUUAGGAAACUUAACCAUCUUUGAUUAACGAGCUAGUCUAGUAGAGGCAUACUAGGGACACUCUGUUUGUCUAUGUAUUCACACAUGUACUAAGUUUCUGGUUAAUACAAUUCUAGCAUGAAUAACAAAGAUUUAUCAUGAUAUAAGGAAAUAUAAAUAACAACUUUAUUAUUGCCUCUAGGGCAUAUUUCCUUCAGGAAGAGCAUCGCGGGUGGGAGGGAGAAGGGGAAUUAAGAGAGUGUGGGUUUGGGUUUGGGCCUCCGCGUGCUAUGUGUACACAUGUGUUGGUGGGUCGAUAGUAGUGGUCCUGGGUUUAUACCCCACGCUACUACUAUGGCCUAUCCCGGGGGUACGGUAGAGACCGCUUAGUAGUAGCGAGGGAUUUAUACCCCUCACUACUACUAUCAACUUAGUAGUAGUGAGGGAUUUAUACCCCUCGCUACUACUAUCAACUUAGUAGUAGUGAGGGAUUUAUACCCCUCGAUACUACUAUGGCCAGUCCCGGGGGGCACGGUGGAGACCACUUAGUAGUAGUGUGGGGUUUAUACCCCUCGCUACUACUAUCAACUUAGUAGUAGUGUGGGUUCUAUACCCCUCGCUACCAAUAAUUAGCAGCAGUGUGGCCCAUAUACCCCUCGCUACGGUUAAGCAUCUAUCUAUAAAGUAUUUUCUAGUAGUGCAUCGAUGGCGGCGAAAUCAGUCGUUCUGCUUGUUUUCCCUACUAGCUCUCUGACGUCCAGAACAAGUUUACGGUCAUAAGGUGCAAUAACCUUGCCUUCAUGAGUGACACGAUGACACGGGAACAGGCUUCCAAGCCUAUGGUGUCGCAUCAUGUCGUGGUCUGCUAGACUUAGUGGACGAAUGCUACUACAAUAUCGGUUGAUCUCAUACUACAAUACCAAGGAAGACACGCAACUACUAUAUAUAUUUCUUCAAGUCAGUCAACACAAGUAAAAUCUGGGAGUUCAACUGGUGCAGCUAUGCAAUGCUAAUGGAGACAACACAAUUCAACUUUAGCACUUCACACAUAAGCAACACCACGUUCAAUGGCACACACCUUAGAGUGUACCUAUGGUGGUUGAUUGGGCUAUAAGAAAUGUGAGUCCAUGUGAAGAUGCCAAAUAUAAUAACACGGCUAAUUACACAUGCAGUGGCAGCAGCAACAAGUGCAUGAAUUCCACAAAUGAUCUAGGGUACACAUGCAACUGUGUCCUUGAGUAUGACAACAACCCUUAUCUUCUAGACAAAUGCAUGGUAUGCUACUAAUUUAUUUGCUAAAUAUUCCAAUGAAUUGUGUCCUUUACUUUGUACAUACCCAAUUAUAAUAUUUUAUUUUGCUAAUACAAUGUAGCCUUCAAUUUAAACCAAGGUUUGCAUCCAUUAAUUAUGUUAGGUUCAUAUGACUUCACUACAUAAAUAGGUAGAUAAUGCAUAAGACUGAGAUUGUAGCUAGGGAUGAAAAUCUAAAUACGGCAUGAAUCUAACAAUUAUGAGUAAUGUCUUUGUGACAAGAACUUUCUUUGUCUUUUAUUCCCAUGUUUGAACUAGUAUAGGUCAGGGUUACACAUUAUGGUGCACAUCACUUUAUUUGUCAUCGUUACAUUGAACACUCAUUGACUAAACAACGAUGAUCCAUCCGUCUUGUAUUACAGGUCUUCAUUUCAUUGGCCACCGAUGCUUGUAAGACUACUCCCAGAUGGUUGUUGUUGUGGAUAUGGUUGUUGAGGUUGGUGUGGUUGCUGGGGGAAUGGUUGUUGGGGUUGCUGGGAAAUUGUUUGUUCUAGUUGCUGGGAUAAUUGUUGUUGGGGCUGCAGAAAUGGUUGUUGUGGUUGUUGUGGUUGCAGGAUGGAGGGUUGCUGGGAAAAUGGUUGUUGCGGUCGUAGGGGGAAUGGUUGUUGUGGUUGUAGAGGGAAAGGUUGUUGUGGUUGUUGAGGGAAUGGUUGUUGUGGUUGUUGGGGGAAUGAUUGUUGUGGUUGCAGGGGGAAUGGUUGUUGUGGUUGCUGGGGGAANNNNNNNNNNNNNNNNNNNNNNNNNNNNNNNNNNNNNNNNNNNNNNNNNNNNNNNNNNNNNNNNNNNNNNNNNNNNNNNNNNNNNNNNNNNNNNNNNNNNNNNNNNNNNNNNNNNNNNNNNNNNNNNNNNNNNNNNNNNNNNNNNNNNNNNNNNNNNNNNNNNNNNNNNNNNNNNNNNNNNNNNNNNNNNNNNNNNNNNNNNNNNNNNNNNNNNNNNNNNNNNNNNNNNNNNNNNNNNNNNNNNNNNNNNNNNNNNNNNNNNNNNNNNNNNNNNNNNNNNNNNNNNNNNNNNNNNNNNNNNNNNNNNNNNNNNNNNNNNNNNNNNNNNNNNNNNNNNNNNNNNNNNNNNNNNNNNNNNNNNNNNNNNNNNNNNNNNNNNNNNNNNNNNNNNNNNNNNNNNNNNNNNNNNNNNNNNNNNNUGGUUGCAGAGGGAACGAUUGUUGGGUCUGGGGAAAUGGUUGUUGUGGUUGCCAGGAAAAUGGUUGUUGGGGCUGUGGAAAAGGUUGUUGUGGUUGUUGGGGUUGCUGGGGGAAUGGUUGUUGUGGUUGUAAGGGGGUCGGUUGUUGGGGUUGGGGAAAUAAUUGUUGUGAUUGCUGGGGAAAUUGUUGUUGGGGUGUGGAAAAUGGUUGUUGUGAUGGAUAUGGUUGCUGUGAUGGAUAUGGUUGUUGUGGAUAUGGCUGUUGUGGAAAUAGUUUUUGUUGAUGGGAAAAU